This 47386-nucleotide long non-coding RNA is filed under the name Ananas comosus (pineapple). RNAcentral describes it as "long non-coding RNA (ACOM_LNC025116)". The record is from RNAcentral. Lineage: Eukaryota; Viridiplantae; Streptophyta; Magnoliopsida; Poales; Bromeliaceae.
UAAUGUUAAGUGUCACCAACCGUCCCUAGAGCAAGUAGCAAAGAAUUUGACGGUUGGUACCCGAGAUCCAAAUUCGAAUCCUAUCUGAUUCACAUUUCUAGCUAAGUUUAUUUCUAAAUAAAAUAAACGAAACAGAUAACGUGCUAUCUAUCUCUCUCAAAAAAAAAAAAAAAAAAUGUUAAGUGUCUUCUCUAGCUGUGAAAGUUUCGGGAUUAAGCAAAACAUUAUACUUUAUAUGCUUGGGAUCUGCAUAAUUUUGUGUUAGAUUAGUUGAACAAGAUUUGAAGGUCGAUCAAUUGAGUUUUGAGAAGAUAUUCUCAGAUGGAGCAUGCGAUAAGAAGAUAAGAAAACAUUAAUAUCAGCCUAACAUGAAAAUAUUCUGACAAUAAUUUUAACAUAAAUAAGGUUGACGAGAAGAAGUAAACAUUAAAAACUUCAGCCUGACAAAUAUAAAUAACUAAUAAAAAAACUGAAUUACCCGACCAACUGUGAACAUAAGAAAACACCUAAUCCUGUGACUCAUUCAGGAUGUUUUGACAAAAAAAAAAUAAAAAUCAAAAAUAAAAACACAAAAAAUCAAGGUGGUGGUGCAGUGAAACUAUCUACCUUCUUUGCUGUUUUCCACUUGGAACGGUAAAGCGCUUCGAAUUAGGUGGCGGGUCUAUGAUCGACCACCCGAUUGUCCAUUAUAACAACUAGAAGAACAAACAAAGAAGGGUGAGAUAGGAAGUGUAAUUAAGAAAAAGUAAACAAAAAAAAAAAAGGGAAAAUAAAGGAAAAAAGAAAAGGAGAGAAAAAGGAGUAUAGAGUAGUUUUUUUUUUUUUUUUAAAUUACUAGCUAGAAUAUUACUAGCAAAACAAAUUCAAUGUGAUUAGCUAGAUUUUAGAAUUUGAUCAAGCAUUAAACUACAUAUAGAUCGACCUUGGUUGGAAUGACCCAAUUUGAUUUGAUUUGUUAGCUUGGAAUUGGGUAGUGGGUGGGGUUUGGUUGGGUUAGCAUCGUCCAGUCAAUCUAACCGAGUUGCUCUAAUCAUAGGAAUUAAUAAUUUAAGGGGUGGGUUAGAGCAAGUCCAACCAUAUUUGGUGGAACAUGUUUGGCAGUUACUUAGCCGCGCAUAGUCUUCAAAAUUGACCGCGGUCCUUUUCAGUUGAUUUAGAAUUAAAGAAAAAUACUAUCCAGUGUGAAUUUUACACACGCUUAUCUGAGGAUAAAAGCUUCUCAUAGCUAGAUUAAUGGACAAUUAUUAACUUUUUAAUGACUAAAAUAUAAGAUUUAUUUUAUGUAUAUAAGUAUAUAAAUAAAAUUGUUCUUCUUGCAAAUGCUCUAUAAAAUAGUUCUGCACGAUAUAUUGUAUUUGGUUAGUUUCAUUUAUCUUGGAUGGUUGAAAAUUAACUUCAUUUGCGUAAAAGAAACUUGGCCAUCCUCAAAAGAGCACGCCAUGGUUGAUAUCAUACCUCGCGAACGAGUAAACCAUUGACCUAAAAAAGAUUUUUGCUUUGAAAGUGGGACAGUGGAGGAAGCUUCGAACCAAUUUUCUGAGCAUUGCAUAGAAAAAAAAAAAAGGACCAUUUGAGAAACUACUAAGGUAGAUGUUUGACUUUGAGAAUUAAUUUCCAUUGGAGAAUAUAGUUACACAUGUUUCUAAUUAAUGUUUAUAGAUGAGUUGUUAUGCCGAUAACACAAUUUGGUUGUACGAGAGGAAAUUGCUAUUCCCGUGGUUUGGCGAGGAAUAAUAUUUGGCAACUCACCGACCGUCCCUAGAACAAGUGGCAAAGAGUUUGGUGGUUGAUAUUCGAUGUCCCAAGUUCGAAUCCUAGUUGAUUCACAUUUCCAGCUAAGUUUAUUUUUAAAUGAAAUAAACGAAACGGGUAGCGUGUUACCUAUCUCUAAAAAAAAAAAAAAAUUGGCAACUCAUUCAAUUAUCAUAUCUAUUAUCUAAGAAUAAAAAUGUAUAAAUUUAUUCUCUCAAAAAAAAAGAAUAUAUAAAUUUAUCUAUUUACCUCCUAACUUAUGUAUGAUAUUUGAAUCAUAAUUAACAUUUUCCAGUAGAAGCGAGUAAUGAAUAAUUAUGUUGAUGUCGUAUCAUUACCAACUUACCUCUUGGCGACUGAAAUAUAUAUAGAUGCUGCCUCAUUCUUCUGCUAGUCAAAUUAAAUCAUAAAAUUAGGCCUCAUUUAGUAUUAUAUUUAUUUUUUUAUUUUUUUAAACAGAACUUUAUAUAUCAAGAUGUGUAGUAGUGGACAAUAGAUUACUUGUGAUCAUUUUAUUAAAAAUCUUUACUUGAACAACAAAAAUAAUUUAAAAAUAUUUUUUUACCUCUAAUUUAAUUUUUUAAAUAAAUUAUUAUUUAUUUUCAGUUAUUAGUGCAGUGGCAAAGGAUAAAAGAUUUGAUGAUUGAUAUCCGAGGUCUUAAGUUUGAAAUCUAAUUGCUUCACAUUUCUAACUAACGAAUAGUAUACUAACUUUUUCUCUAAAAAAAAUACUUUUAUUUAUCACAAUACUGAAUAUAUUAUAAACUAACCAACUAUAAUAAUAACAAAAAAAAAAAUAACAUAUUAAAUUAUAUAUAUCUAGUAUUUUAGAAAGUAAAAAAAAAAAAAAACCAAACGUGACGUUUUAUAAUAAAUUAACUCUUUAGUUGUCAAAAGAAAAAAAAAAAAAAUUUGAAGUGUUCCACAUUCUUAGGUUGAACGAAAUUUUCCGAACUCCGCAGCCCUUACCGAACCGGACCGCCGUAGACCGAACUCGCACAACCCCCGUAAGCCACGUGGCAGCCUCACAGGCUUCGACGGCUCUGAGGAUCUCCCAAGUUGCAAUCCCGAGUACCAAUUCUAACGGUGGGUCACACGUGAAAUGACAAAACUACCCCUCCCUCCGCCACUAAUCCACUAUGGUCACGGAUGCCAUGGUCAACCGUUUACAAAUCCCACGAGAUACCCCUCAUGCUCCCACCCCUCAAGUCCUACCAUAUUACAUUACCGUCCAUCCCACUUUUCCUUGGCGUGCACUUCUUCCGAGGCCCCCCCUCUUCUUCCCCGCAAAGCAACCCUUUUCUCCCCCCACCCCUCUCUCUCUAUCCUUCAUCGAGACGCCAUUUCCGUACUCGUAAGCUUUUUCCCAAACAAGUAUUUGUUUAUUGGCGAUCGAAGAGCGAGAUCUGAGUUCCUCACAAGUGCUUUUGCUUAUCGAGCUCGAGAUCACUUCUCCGCCCCCAAGUCGUAAUCAGAAGCGCAUUUUUUUUGUUUCGAAGAUGUUGGGGGACUUCCUCACCAAUAUACUUGUGUAAGUAUGAUCAAAUUCGUUGCAGUUAUCUGUCGUUCUCGUUUUCCUUUAAUUUGAUCCUUGAAUUGAUCCGCGAUAUGAGCUUUUGUUGUUUUUAAAUAAAAAAAUUGGGGAAAUGAUAAUUGUUGUAGGUUGCUGUUCGGAUACGCUUAUCCCGCAUUCGAGUGCUUCAAGAUGGUGGAGCAGAGACCAGGCCAGAUCGAGCAGCUUCGAUUUUGGUGCCAAUACUGGUAAAUUUAGUCCUGUUUCUUCAAAUUAGUUACUCUGUUUCUUCUUUUUUAAAAAAAACAAAGAAAAGAAAAGUCCUGUUAUUUUUGAAGCUGCGAUUAAUGAAUAAAAACUUAGGAGUUUCUAUAUAUGAUGAUUCUAACUUGUUAUGAUUGGUUGGUGGGGCUGAUUCUAAUAGUACAUGAGAGAGAAUUAGCUUGGAGAUUGAUUUCUUUGAGGAAAUAAAAUUUAAUCUCAGAGGAAUAAUUAGUCAAUGUUUUGAGCUUAAUUUUUUUGCCCCGUUUAUUAGGGAUUGAUUUGAUGCACAAGGUUAUCAUAGGAUGUGGGGUUCAGUUAAAUUCAAUGACUUGGAAUAGGAAUUAUGUGGCUCUCCCCUGAUUCAGAACAGAGACUAGUCAAUUUUGUUAAACAGAGACCUAGUCAUUUCCAACUCCUCUUUUUUAAAAUUUUUUUUUAUUUUUGAAAACUAAGUAUGUCUCCGCGCUUGAAAUGGACCAAUUCAGAGAUAGAGAUUUGAGACAUGCCUGAGAGAGCGAAAAUGGAUCCGGCACGGAUCAAAGAGAGGACAAAUCACAUCUGAGUUCAUUUUCGUAAUCUUUACCCUUUUCUUUUCUUUUUUUUUCUCUCUCUCAAAAAAAAAAAAAAAAACUUUACCCUUUUUCUUUUUUUAAGUCUUGAGUUCACUUUUCCUCCAGGAGUGCAAACAUAAAUACAUAAAUUAAUGGGCUUGCUAGUGUUGGAGACAAUUGAUGAUUAACCGGAUAGACAUAUUAAAUACCCAUUUUCAGUCUUAGCUUACACAGUUAUAAUAAGUUAGUUACAUAAUGAAUCAGAGAAAUCUAAAAGAUAUGAGUUAUUCUUUAUGCUUGUUUGUUUCCCACAGGCGAUUCUGGUUAUGUUAAGAAUUUCUUUUGCUGAGCUUUUCGCUAACUAUAUGUUGUGAUUUGCUUCUUCUGAGUCCUGCUUUUGGGUUUUUGCUUUUGCUGUAGUUUUUAGUUCUUUAACUCUUUUUAUCUACUUCUCCUUUUUCUUUGGGCCCAUUUGGGCCUUUCCCGGGCCCUCCCUGUGUGUUUCGGCUUUUCUCAGAGCAGGUCCAGAGUUUUUCAGCCUAUUUCCUCCCUCAGGAAAGCAAAAGGCAAAAAAAAAAAAACAAAGAAAAGAAUUUCAAUUGUUGAAUACAUCUUGAAUAACAAAUCGGCAUUGUAUCUAAAUGUUGGGAUUUUUUGGUCGUACAACCAGUAAUAGGGUAACGAAAUUGUAAGGUAGUUUAUGUCUCUAAAAUAACCAAAAGUUGGAGACAAUCUUCGGACCAAUUCAGGCAAAAAGGGCGUCACAAAAAUCAGACAAUAGAUGUACCAUCCUCGUUCAUUGUUGCAAGUUUUUAGUUACCAACAGAACAAAAGCUGAAAAACUAAUGAUCAUCUCAUAGAAAUGGAUUAGUAGAUUCGGAGAUAAACAUGUAGGAGGAAAUAAAUGCAGUUGCAGUGGAAAAGGGUGUGAAGGGGUUUCAGCGGAUAACUAAUCAGGGCUCAAAACAAUUAUAGCUACCAAACAAGUAUUUCAAAAUUCAUACAGCACCUUUUCCUUUCGCUGUUCUACAUUUUCUAUGAGCUUCAAAUGUUUCCGCCAGCAUGUGCUCACUUUGCUUCUGCUACACCAAACUGCAGGAUUAUUGUUGCAAUCGUCACAGCGUUUGAGAGGCUAGGAGAUGUAUUCGUAUCAUGGUAACAACGAUUCAAGUUGUUAAUAAUGGUUUCACUUUUGCCGGUUGAUGCAAUUGUUUUAACAACCUUUUCUUUGUUCAUGAAAGGUUGCCAAUGUAUGGAGAAGCAAAGUUAGCCUUCUUUGUCUACUUGUGGUACCCGAAAACAAAGGUAAUCCGAGAACCCCGCCAAAACUUAUAUCAACGUAACAUUGCAGUAAAAAGAAGGAUUUCGCGUCAAUAUUGGAAACCUCUUCUUAUUUACAGGGCAGUGAUCUAGUCUACGACACUUUCCUGCGGCCGUUGGUUAUGCAGUAUGAGCCAAAUAUCGAGCAGAGGUUGCGGCACCUGAGGGCUAGAUCGGGGCAGCUGCUCAUCUUCUACAUCAAAAACUUCACCGACAAAGGAACGCAAAUGUUCCUCGAGGUCCUUAAAUAUGUGGUCUCUGAGAAAUCUAGACUAGUAGACUCCGAGGUAAUUUUUUUUGCUUUUACUUCUAUGCUUUAAUUCUGUUAAUGCAUUGUAGGUGUCGAUUUUGUGCAUCUAAGUCGUCGGAUGAGUUUUGCCUGGUAGUUAGAGGACAACAUAAAUAUACUUAUAAUUAAGGUGAUAAUGAUCGAAGCUGUCCUAGUUAGUUACUGGUUUGUUGACCGACUUCUGCUGACAUUGACCAAAAAAAAAAAAAAAAAAAAUCUGCACAGCCAAAAUAAAACAUCAUUGGUGAUGUAUUAAUUUGUAAUUAAAUAUAUCAAAUAUUUUGAAUACAUUGACCAUGAUGGAGAAGUUAAGUUUGAUCCAAAGUAAUCCUCUAUUAUUAAUUAGUAGUGCUUAAAAUUAGAACCUAUAACCGGCCAAGUUUCCGAGUCGACCACCUCACUUCUUUUCCAUUUUGGCAUGAGCUUACACUAGGAUAACCAUACAUUGGGAGAGUAAGUGUUCUUAGGACUCUUCUUUGCCUCUUAAACACAAAAUUAUCAAAAAAAUAUGUAUUGCAAGUUAAGCGACGUGCUCAGUGGAUGAAUUGGUAGAGCGGAUCCAAGUAAUAAUCUCUUCUCUUUGCCAACCACACACAUGGCUGAACAGAGCAACAGACGCAGGCAUAUCCUGCUACGCAACUCUCUAUUUUUGGGGCUUUGUUUUGCUUCCCAGUGGCUGUGGGCUCUUUUAAGGCUUAUGGUAGAAGCGGAAUUAUAUCGUGUAGGGGAAAUGCGAUGGUGACACAUAACAAAGCAAUAGCGAAUCCAAUCCAAGAAUUGGACCCACCUUGUUUCCCCCCCCCCCCUAAAAACUUUUGCUCUGUAGCAACUAGACAGUGCCAAAUCAGUUGAAACCAACCAUUCAAGGCAGCGCCACCUCUUUCACUUCCUUUAUUAUAAUUUUGUUUUAUGCCAUGUUUAUUUUCCUAACGCUCAAUCUCUAACAGGGGAACAAGCGGUCGGGAUCGCACCCGAUCACGAUCAAGCGGCCGACCGUCUUCGACGAGCUCACGGCCGACGAGUGGCGGCCGGAGGCUUAUGCCGACGCGGUUGAAUCCCCACGCGCUGCUGCACGUGCGAAGCCGCGGCGCUCCUGGUUCAGCAAGCACUAGGGAGGAUACGUGUGUAAAGUGAAACAGGAGAGUACAUAGAAUACAAUGUGGAUGCGAACUUGCCAAGAUAGGAUCAUGCAGAUUUAUAGAUGAAACAGUGGUGAUUGUUAUUUUCUUUUUGUAUUUUCUUUUUUCUUUCUUUUUUUCCCCCUAUUUCCUUUCUUAGCACUAAUUAUUAUUUGAUUAAAUUCACAAAUCCCUAUCUGUUAGCAUCUAUUUGUUCGUCCCAUUCUUCUAUCUAUUUACAAAUCAGGACGUAACCAGAAGAAAGAAAAAAAAAAAAAAAGUAAACCAAAAUCAAAUUCAACAAAUUGGAAGAAAUAAGAAAAUUGUAAUAGCGUGAGACGGCCAUCGCGAGCCUCGGUGCUUACCGCCGCCGCCGUUAUCGGCCGAAGAGGCGGCCGAGGAAGUCGAAGCAGGGGCCGAAGAGCGCGGCGGCGCCGCCACGUCCGGCGCCGCCGCUGCUGCAGCAGCAGGCGAGGGCGAGGAGGAGGCGGCAGAGGCGGCUGCGGCGGCGGCGCGAGGGCUCCCGCAUCGACGGCGUCGGCUGCAGGUAGGCGUACGCGGCCUGCUUCACCAGCGGGUUGCUGAUUCGGAUCUCCGCACAGCUCCCUCCUCCUCCUCCGCCGCCGCCGCCGCCCAUGGGGGAGUCGGCUGCGGCGGAGGCGGAGGAGUACCUCGGCGACGAGAGGAUGUCGCGGAGGCUUGUGUAUCCCCGCUCGGAUCCGAAGCUCCCGCUCUCUAAUUCCGAGCCGCCGCCGCCGCCGCCGCCGCCGCUGCCGUUGGGGAUCUCGAUCGCCGGGAGCACCGCGGUGGCCCUCCGCCGCAGCGAGGGUUGCUUCUUCUUGUCCGACGACGACGACGACGACGACGAUCUCCAGUGGCGGAGCUCGAAGUCGCCUUUGCGGCUUCGGCUCGUCUCCUCGCCUACCAUGGAAGGGCCCGCGGAGGAGGCGGAGGAGAGAAGAAGAAGAGGAAGAGGAGGAAUAGGAGGGGGUCAGCGGAAUAAGUAUCGAAUAGUUAAUACCCGAUCUAUAAAAUAGGUUUUUGAAAUUGAUGUGUGUGUGUAAUAAUAUUGUGGUUUAGGGCGAAAAGUAAGAGCUCCAGAAAAUUUGGGCCGUGUGAACGGGUUUUGGAGAGAUCGAGGGAGACGGGGACGAAUCGUGGCCGUCGGAUCGGAGGUGACCCAACCUGCGUCUGAUUUCUGAUGCGCUGUUGUUGGUGCGCUCAAUUAUUGGAUCCGCGUCAGCGCCUUAAUCCCGUUCUCUGUCACGCCGCUCACUAAUUAGGCUUUUAAUUUUUUUUUUUUCGGGGGGUUACAAUUAAUUAAUUAAAUUAAGUUAAUUACAAGUAAACAGCGACGAUCAGGAAGCUAAUUAAUUAAAUAAUGAUGUAAUUAAUUAACGAGGGAAGAGGUGGUGGCGUGGUGGGGCGUCCGAAUCUUGAUGCGAUUCGGAAUGGAGGAUGGGGAUUGGGGGUGCUGUACUGGGGCGGGUUUGACCCGGGUGGAGUUGGCCGCCCAGUGGAGCCGCGGGGAGUGGCAGACCCGAAGUUCAAGGUGUGGCCGCUCUCUCGUUGCAGUUCAGCGUGGGGCCUAUCAUGGUCGGAGUUCUCUACCAAACGUUUUAUCUAAAAUAAUAAAUAAUAAAUAUAUGUAUAUAAUGGAUCAUUAUCUUGUAUAUAUAAUAGUAUUAAAGAUUUACGAAAAGUGUUUUUCUUUUAUAUAUUAUUUCUAUUUAAAAUUAUAACAUUAGUCCGCGAUUAAUUUUUUUCUUCUCCAAUGGCUUACUAAACACCCAUAAAAUAUCUUGCAGAGAACACCACCCCAACCUUUAUCUGGAUUUAAUUGGUGAUAUAUUAUUUUUGUUUAAAAGCGUUGCCAAUGAAUUAAAAUGUUUAACUAAUUUCCGCUCUAUCAUUGUUGCGGAAUUUUUUUUUUUUUUUAAAAAACCUGUUAAAUUUACAUACCUGAACUUCUGUUCUGGUUUUCAGACAAUUAAACGCUGAUGAUGCUUAAUCUAACUUUUUAACAUAAUACAGGUGGCUCUUGGAAGCUUUUGCUGGACAAAACGGAACUGUUAACAACAAAAAAUGAGGGAUUUAAAAAAAGCAUCAAAUUCUGGAUCCAUCUCAUCAGCUGCACUCCUCUGAUCUCACAAAAGAAUACAACUCCCUGGCGAUGAGUUCGUUCGUCUGCUACACUCCAAUCGCUGUCCCACGCUCAAGCAUUUGUAUGAACAAAACAACCAUUAGAUCAUAAAAACUGCUUACCGAGAUAGAGACAGAAGAAAAUUCACCAAUAACUCAAAUUCCAUUUCACUUGGAACUCAGAUCCCAUUUUAAGCAGCAAAGCUAGUAAUCUGGCAAGGCAGCAUCUAAGCUCAGAAAGUAGCACUUCUUUACAUUAUAAGAUAAAUAUAGAAUAAGAAAACAACCUCUGCCCACCAAAAGUCUGGGACUUGCAGAAAGGUAGUCCAAUUUCUAGGCAAAAAAAAAAAAAAACAAAUGACAUUGUGAUCUACUGGGCGGACGGAUCUGCUUAGAUUGCCUAAAGUAAAAGAACCAACAAUGAGAAUAUACAUCUACUUGACCAACUGAGCAAGAUCGGGAUCAUUCGUGUCCAAAUCAAGCCAGCCGUAUAGGCGCAUGUACUCAAUGUAAUGAUCGGGAGGCUUUACAGCUCGAGGAUUCCUUGGAGCAAAAGCAUGCAACCUUCGUACAUCUCGGGCCAGCCAUCGAACAAAGGCUCGAUCCAAUGGAGGCAUAGCUCUUACUAAUAUUUCCUCGCGCUCUUGCUUCGCUGGCUUGUUCCCCAUCUCAACUCACAAUCUGAAGAGAGAAGGAAAAGUAAGGAAUCAAAUUCUCAGAGACAACUAUCAAUGGAAAGACGCGAAAAAGAAUUCAGCAUAUGUUGUUCUAAUAAAUGUCGGGAGCACAAAAGAAGCCUGCUAGCAAUUAUGAUAUAAGUUGGAUAAUAUCAACAAUUUUCACUAUUUUUGUUUUGUUCAACCACAACACAUUUCCCACACUGAGCAAUAUAAUCAGGCUCUUCAGUUCAACCAAAAAAAGACAAGAUACUUGGGUCAAUUGGCCUCCUUUAUUCUGUUUUUCUUGGUGUGCAAACUUGUCUUCUUCAAGAGCUACCUACCUGCUGCUGGUUUCAAAGAUUAUACUGAAAAAAAAAAAAAGAAGGAAGACACGCCUGAUCCAACAAGAUGUCGUUUAUUCUAUCUACUAGUGUGGGUGCAAAAUCAGAACAAAGAUGUAAAUUUAUGUUCGUCUCGCCCUUAAAACAAUACUUGAAGUGAAAAAAAAAACCCCUCGAAAAUGACACUCUAGAUUUCUCCACUAAAAAACUCAGACAACUGUCAGUUAACCUGUAUGCAAAUUUCUUUCUCUAAAAAGCUCAGACAACUGUCAGUUAACCUCGACACACUAUGAGAUCUCAGCACCGCAAUCGUCCGUUGCCUAAUCUCUCUUCGUUAAUCCAGAAACAGCAGAAAGAACCCCCAUUUCUAAAAACACAGACAUACUCCGCCAAGAAAACAUCCGUUAGCCGCUCGUUAAUUUGAAGCAGGCUCGACCUUUAGAUGCAAAUUAUUGUUCUUAGAAGAUCGAUAGUCCAGAUGUCGCUUGAGUCCGAGAAGACACCACGGCUCAAGACUUCUUCUUUAGAGACAGAUGUUGAACUCGCAGUUCAGCAAAUGUUUGUUGGAGCACGAAGAGACCAAACAAGAUGUAGACGAAGCAACGCAGAUCAUAAUUCCGCACUUUUUUCAUUUUGAAGAACUCUUUCCAGUUUCCACAAAUCAAUAGGAGUAAAUUCAUGUCGAUUCCGCAGCAAUCAUCUCAAAAGAGUCUACAAAAAUUGGCAUUACAGCAAACAAGUCUCCACUGAGUACAUGACAGAUUUUUUUGUUUUCCUAACCUACAUGGCACAAAUAUUACCUUAAAAAUCUGUAAAAAUGCUAAUUCACAAUUAAAACAUGAUCUGUGAAACGGAAUGCUGAGAUUCUAAAUCAAUUCUCGAAUUGCGUCGAAGGUAAUUGAAUGCGUGAGACAACCUUCCAAAGGUGAAUUAGGGUUUCGAAAGGGGCUAAUCUAAACAUAAUAAAAGGAAAAGAAAAAUUGAAAUAGUAAAGAUAAAUUGAGAUUACAGAAGGAGAAGAGAAAAUACAAAGAAUUUUUGGGUGAGAAAUUGCGUACCAACGUGGAGCCUUUGCCGGUCGAAUGUUCGCGUGCACCAAAGCAUCCGGGGGGGGGGUUCGAAGAUACAAGGCAAGAUAAGGAUUGAAUGGACGGACAGAUGGAUAGAUGGUGAUGAAAUGUCACCGUCGGAUCUCCUGGAGAAAUGCUGUGUGUACAAUUGUACAUACUGCAACAGAGCGUACACCUAACAUUUAUCUAAUAAUGUACAAAUUUAUCCAAGUUCUUUCAUAUUUUUUGUUAAAAAAUUAAUAAAAUAUAAAUAGAUUAUUAAUUAGAGCUAUCAAAAACUGUAUUGUGUACUUUACGCUCGAAUGUAUGAAUAGUAUUGCCAUUAGUAAAUUGGAAGAGCAGGAACAAAUUUUACAGUAAUCUUAAAUACCUCAUCAAAAUAUUUAUCAAUACGCAUACACUACAGCUAUAUGCACAUAAAAUUAUAUUAUUAUAUAAAUAAAAUUUAUAUAAAUAAAGAUGCAUGAAUGCCAUAAAAAUAAUGUUGAUAAAGCUGAAUGGUAUGCGUUGCAUUCCGUUUUAAUCAAUAAAAGGUAAUUUUUAAUUCUACAUACAUGCACGUACAAUAAGGGAGCAAAGCUGCAAAAGUUCUCUAUAUAUUGUAGAUGUGAUAAUAAAUUCAUAUAACACUCUAUGUAUAAAAUGGUUAAAAACUUUCACAUUAGUUUAAAGUUCGUAAUUAAUGUUUGUGCUAAAAUGAUUCAUAUAUAUAUAUAUAUAUAUAUAUAUAUAUAUAUAUAUGAGCUCCUAUAUAUGCUUUUAAAAGUACCAAGUUAUUGGUGCUUGUAGAUUUUUAGCCGUUGGAUUAAGAGAUGUGCGAUUAGGAUGAUGUGGACCCCCUAGGAUUGAGUGGGUGAUUAGUUGAAUAGUAUAAUCUAACGGUUAAAAAUAAUCCGAGGAGUAGAUCUGAAGGGUAAAAAAUUUACAAGCACCAAAUGCUUGGUGCUUUUACAAACACCAUAGUCGGACUCAUAUAUAUAUAUAUAUAUAUAUAUAUAGUCUUUUUUGAAAAAAAAAAUUUAUGCGUCAAAUAACAAAUUUCUCUUUAUAUGGAUAUUUGUGCUAAUUAUGGUUUCAUUAGAAAUAAAGCAACAAUUAAAUCAUAUAACAAAAUAAUUGUUGUUCUCCAAAAAUUUAUGGUAUUAAUUUUUUUUAUAUUUACAUUUAGCAACUCUCUUCCGGUUUCUCUCUAUUUAUUUACCUAUUUUCGUUCCCUAACCUUCCUUUGAGAAUUACGGACGGUUUCUAAUACAAAUGAUAAGAAAUUUGGUACUUGGUAUUUGAGAUCUUAUAUUAGAAACCUAAUUAUUUCAUAUUUCUAGUUAAAUUUAUUUUUUAAAAAAUAAAUAAAAUAGAUAGUAUGUGGUAUUUUUCUAAAAAAAAAAAAUCUAUGACAAUGAUGAGCCAAACUAUCAUAUAAGAACGUAAAAUAGGCAAAAGAGUGUAGAAAAUAUAAGAUCGCUAUAUAUAUAUAUAUAUAUAUAUAUAUAAAUAAUAAUAUAAAUUUUAAAACUUCUUAUGAAUUGAUGAACGCCCUACUAUCAACAAGAAUUAAAAUUUAUUAUUAGGCCUCAGAACUUUUCAAAAAAAAUUUAUAGUAUUACAAAAUUUUUCAAAUUUUUUUAAGAAAAAGCAGUACUUUUUCUCUUUUCAUACCAAAAUUCAUUUAUUCGCAAAAUUUUAAAAAACUUAUAGUCAACUAAUUAUUAUCUAGAUAUUAAUUAUAAUGUUAUAUAAUUAACUUAUAAAUAACUAUAAUGUUGAAAAUUAUUUUAAAUUAGUGCAAUUCUUAUUUUUAAUUUAAAUUCUAUCAUUUUAAAAAAUAUUUAAAAUUUUACAAAAUACUAAACUUCAAUUAGUGUCUUAACUAUAUAACCUUUAAUUACACUUUUGUACCAACAAAAUUUUAAAUUAAAUGACGAAUUAUGAUGAUGAAGGUGAAAAAAAUAUAGUGUAGUAGAGUUAAUUUCUUAAAACUAUUAAAACAAAGUUUAAAUAUGCAAAAUCAUAAAACAGAUAAUAUUAUUUGUUAAAAAAAUAAAGUCAUCUAAUUACUAUCUAGAUAUUCAUUACAAUGUUGUAUAAUUAAAUUAUAAAUCACAAUUGACACCGUUCCUAAAGUUGAUGGAUGAAGUCAUUAAUCACUUAAUAAAUAUUCGUUUUGAAAUAAGCGUGUCCCUUCGUUUUUCUAUAAUUGUCUUUUUGUUUUCUUAAAAUGAGUUAUGAUAGUCUAGAAUUGUAUGUGUCUUUUAGUAUUCCUAAAAGUGUCUUUUAAUUUCUCUAUGAAAUUAAAGAGUGCAUUAAUGUAUAGAGAAUAUGAAGGGUCAUUUGAGAGGCUAUAAAUAUGUAAUGAUUUUAUGAUGAAAAGCAAGUUAAGUUGAGUUGAAGUUUCUACUUUUAUUUGAGAAUAAGGAUUUCUUCUUCCUCCUAUCUCUUAGGCAGAUUUUCUGUGAGAGAAGAGUGUUGUUCAACCAUUGUGUUGGUGGAUUCCGCAUAGCGGUGAGUGUGCUCGAGUUCGACGUGGUGGAUUCUACGCCGGGUCGAGUAUUUAUCGUGUUAUAUUGGUCCUAUCUCCGCGUCCCCUCUAAGUUCCGGCGUCAACAAUAAUGUAGAAAAUUAUAUUAAAUUAGAUAUUUAUAAAAUUUUACAAAACACUAAACUUCAAUUAGUAUCUUAAGGUUAAAAAUAUAAUCUUUAAUUUUACUUUUAUACCAAGAAAAUUUAAAUUAAAAGACAAAUUUGAUCAUGAAGGAGAAAAAAAAUAUAGUGUAGUAGAGUUCAUUUCUAAAAAUUAAUAAAGCAAAGUUUAAAUAUGUGAAAUCAUAUAAUAGAUAAAUAUAAUUUUUUUGAAUUGUUUGGACUUAAAUUUAAAUACCUUUUUCCUUCUCUUGUAUACAAAAUAUAAUUGUGAUUUUGUUCCAAUAAACUCAUAAAUUACAUUGCGAAUUUCGAUGAGGAAGCUACAAACAAAAAUGUAGUGUACCAGAGUUAACCUUUAAAAAUCAGUGAUGUAAAAUUUAAAAUGCAAAAUCACAAAAUAGAUAAACAUAAUUUGUUUGAUUGUUUGGAUUUAAAUUUAAAUUCUGAUAGAUAAAGUUUAUUAGCUCAUGAUUGAUGUUGUGGACAUUUUCCAUCCUCUAUUAUUGAUAGGAAGUAAAAGAUUUAUUGAAAAGAAUAUUCAUCUUGUGUAUGAUAUUCUCUAUAGCCAAUAUUAAAAAAAAUAGUAGAUAAUUUAUAUUUAAUUUUAAAUUUUAAAAUAAUUUUUAAAAAAUAUAAUUUUUAUAAAUAGUUUAUUCUAAUAAUACAUAUUAUAGAGGUUUAAAUUGUAAUUUUAAAUUUAUAAAUUAGAAUGAUUGUGCUUUAUAUAUAUGGCUCAACAACCUUUAUUCUUCCGGUAGUGCCCAAGAAAUGUAUGUGCUCAUAGAAAUGAAUAGUUUAUAGUUUCUUCAAUUAGUAGAGAAAAAAAAAAAAUUAUGUGCAAUCCUUUUAUCUUUCAAGUAUAGGAGAAAUGGAGGUUUAAAUAUUUUCUUCUACAAACAAAAAUAUUAGAACUUUUUUAAUUAAUAAAGAAAUAAAAAAUUUAAUAUUUGAUUUCUUCAUCGUCUUGGCAUCCGAUAAACGUGGUGUGAAGAAUCGAGAUGUAUCUUCUCCAAGAUAUGAAAAAAUUCCUCCAAGAAACAAGGAGUUAAGAGUUUUGGCGAAAAUGUAUCUUCUCUAAAAAACGAAGAGAUUUCUUCAAGAAACGAAGAGAUUGAGGAGAUAUAUUUUGUCCAAGAAAGAAAGAGAUUUCUUAAAAAAAUAAAGAGGUUGAAUAAAAAAGUGUACACUUUAAAUAAAUGCAAUUAAUAAUUAUUAAAUAUUUGUAAAUUAUUUAUUUUUAUUAUUUCUCUAUUUUUUUUUUUUAUAUUAGUUGCCAUGGGCAAUGACAUUAAUUAGAACUUGAAUUUGAAGAGAAAAGAACUAUUAGAAAAAAAUAUUCUAAAUAUUAUGUGAAUUUCAAUCAAUUUGAUGAUGUUUAUUUAAUUGGUCUUCAUACACUUACUGAACAGUUAGUUUUGUAAAAUUAUUUGUUUAAAUUUUUUUUGUUAAUAUGUACUUUUUUUGAAUUUUUUUAAAAAUUGAUUAUUUACUUAUAUUUGAGUGAAUUGUAUACGAUAAAAUUGUACUUGUAGUAAUCUUUUUAAUUUACUUUCAUAUUUUUCGAUGAUUUGAUGAAUUAGUUGCAUAGUAACUUGCUUUCACUUUGUAAAUUAAUUGUCUUCUCUAAAAUAUUAUAUAAAAUAAUUAAUUAAUGGCUAAAUUAUAUAAAACCUCCCUGUCAAAAUCCGAUUUUUUACUUUUUUCCUCUGUCAUUUAAAAACUUACACUUUGCUCCGUUGUAAAAUAAAAAAUAGUCAUAAGAGGUAUGGUGUAAACUGUGAUACAAAAUAACCAUUUUGCCCCUCAUCAUUUUUGGCAACAGGAGAGAAGGCUGAGGGCAUUUUUGACAUAAAAAUAUAUAUAAUAAUAUUUUAUAAACAGAACCCUAACGGAUCACUAACGGCAGGGGGUGAAGUGAACAUUUUUCAUUUUACAAAAGGGCAAAGUGUAGGUUUUUAAAUGACAGGGGGAAUGUGAAAAAUCAAAUUUUGAUAGAAAAUUUUCUGUAAUUUAGCCUUAAUUAAUUAUCACUUUUAUCUUGUUAUUUUAAUAAAACUUUUGUUUUAGCACUUGACAUUUAUUUUGUAAUAACAACAAAUGGUUACAUCCUGACCGUUGAUAUUUCUAGGAAUACAAUUGAAAGUUUUAUUUGUUCAACUAAUAGUUGUUUUUUCUUUUCUAACAAAAUUUCAUAACUCAAUUAAGAGGUACCCAUAUAAAAUAUUACAAACUUUAAACAAAAUACACAUAAGUAUUAUAUAUAGAAAAUAUAGCAAAAUGAAAAAUAUAAAUUUGAAUCAAUAAGAAGUAAGAUUUUUUUCUCUAAAUUAUACUCAUAAAAAAAUUCUUGAAGACGAUGACGAAGUUUCAGUGAUGAAUAUCACCGAGUCAAAGUUUUCUCGCUUCAAAAAAAAAAAAAAAUCAUCAAUGACAACAACUAAGACAAUAAAAUUAGAAUGAAUUUAACUCUUCUUUCAUUACUUCAUUUUAAUCUAAUCUAUUUUCAUGUAUGGAUGUUCAAAUUUACGUUUUUAUUUUACUAUAUUUUCUAUCCAGUAUUUUGUUUAUAGUUUGGAAUAUUUUAUAAUUUUUUAAAUAUGACAUUACUAUUUAAAUAUAAUAUUAUUUAUUCAUUAAUUUAUUAAUUUAUUUAAUUAUAUUAGAAAAAUCUAUACGUGCAACGCACGUGCACUGACUAGUAUAUAUAUAUAUAUAUAUAUAUAUACACACACACUUAAUAAAACUCUCCCCGUUACGAUGAGCACCCAAAAUGUUCACAUAUACCAUCACUCCUUCCCCAAUUUCAUAACUGUAGCAGAAAAAAUUAUAAGUAAAGUAAAUAAGAAUAUAUAUAGAAAUAUAAGAAUAUAAUAUAUUUAUAAAAUGUUAACAUUUUUAAAAGGUAUAAAUGUAAGUAAAAAUUGAGUUCAUUACACCAUAAAUAACAGCCUUAAUUGUUUUAUCAAAUAUUCAAACACAGAACUAAAUUUAUUGUAUGAACAUUUUGUUACCAUAAAUAGCAUUCCAGCCAACUGUCAUCUACGUACCUCCUUCAUAAUAAUCAUGUGUUUGAAACUUUAUUAUAAUUUCUAAAAAGUUAAAUUCGAUGAACAUGCUGGCAACGCUUAAGCUACUUCUGGGUAUCCAACUAACUUACUAUACUCUCUCUCUAAAACAAUUUUAAAUCCGUGAAUAUUUUUAGCAAUCAAUAUUUGCUCAAGUAUAAAUAAAUUAUAUUGAGCAUCUCUCACGUGCUUUUUUGAACGCAUGAAGCUUUCUAUGCUUUCGUGUUGUUUAUGAUGAUGUGACAUUCAAUUCGAUAAUCGAUUUAGUUAUACAUGAUUUAUACUGUUAGAAUUAUCUAAAAAUUAAAUUUUAUAAUUUUUUAUAUCAUUUUCUAAGUAAUUAAAGGGUUUAAAAAUAACUAUUAUAACGACCGAUACGCGCGGUACAUGUUUGUUAGUUCAACCAUGUAGAAAAAUUCAAAUUAAAUUAAAAUUUAAUAAAAAGCUAUAAUUGCGAUCAUUAACAAGAUCAACACUUUUGAUUUGAAAUUUAUAUAUUUUUUUACUAAUUUUUAGGAAAUUUUUAUUUUCAAUCAUUUAUUUUCAAUUUUUUUGUUCACUAGGCAAGCGAGUCAUAAAAAUAUAAAACUUAAUUUUUAAAUAGCUUUAAUACUGUAAAUUAUACUUAACAAAGCUAAUAAUCAGAUUCAACCUUCAUCAUCAAAAAAAAUUUAAAAACACGAAAAUAUUUAUACUUUUUAAAAUAUUUAUACUUUUCAAAAUAUUAUUUCUUAGCUCCUACAAUAUGAACUUGUAAACAACCGUCCCUAAAGCAAGUAUUAAAUAAAAUAAAUAAAACGAAUAGCAUACUAUCUAUCAAGCUAAAAAAAAAAUAAAAUUGUAAUUAUAUAGUUUUUUUUUUUUUUUUUUUAAUUGCCCUCUCCCUGACAUAUAUUUCUUCCAAACUUCCAAUCCCCGUCGCUGUCGCACGUGAUUCCAAUCCAGCUGGUCCCUACUCUCCAAUCGCGACCUGCCCUUUUCGCCGUACUCUUCACACCCAGCCUCGUCGCGUGACAGAUCAUUUACCCAUCUCAAAACACCAAACACGGUGCAACCAUCAAAUCCAUCGUUACACGAAUAUUAACGUACACGUUUCCAUCAUCCAAGACCUUUCUACCCAUCUUCCUGUUCAUCUAGAAUACUAUUUCAUGAACCCGAUACCGUGAUUCGCGGAGCACUGAAAGCUACGAUAAGAAGCUUAUACGAUGCCUAGCUGUAAUGACCAAUUACGGAACAGUUCGGUUUAAGUUAAGCUAAUCCGCGAGUUAUUAUAACGAGCUCGAGUAAUGCACUAAUGCCUCUGAGAGGAAUUAGAUCAUUCCCUUCGAUUCCUACUUAAAUAAAGGCCGCGUGAUGAAUAAAUAUCCGUACGUAGCGAACCCCUACAUUUCUACGUCCCUUUUAUAGCGAAAAAGCCAUGGCGUGAAGUCCCAAGUUGAUUCACUUCUCCGUUCCCUUCUCCGAGAAACGAGCGGAGGCGAAAACCCUAACACACUCGCUCGUCGUCCUCGUCGUGUUCGUCGUCUUCUUCUUCGAUCCAUGGCGAUCCGGAGAUCGAAGUAGCAUGAUGUAGGAAUCGUCGCGUUUCGAGUAAGUCGGUUCGUUUCCAUGAGUGUGAGAUCUCUUUUCUCUUCUUCGAUUUAAGCUUUGCGGGUUUCGAUCGCUCUCGUUGCCAAUGUAUUGGGAUUUAGCGUUGUGAUCUCAUGUACGUUUCGAUGUGAGUUGUUUGAGCUUUGUCCUUGAGACUACUAUUUGAUUUGAGGAAGGAGCCCUUCUUUUUUGAUUUCCAGGACCUGGGUUUUUUAUGCGAUUUUGUAUUGCUUUUUGUGUUCAAAUCAUGAAGGGUGGGUCUUUUUUUACUUCUCUGCAGGAUUAAUUGUGUUAUUCUCGUUAAAAAGUGGUUGAGAUGUUACCUGGAGAAUUGGAGAAUGGCUCUUUCAAUGGUUCCUUCUUGAUACUUAAUUUGGGGAACAAUACAGUUGGAUUGGGGAACCCUUGCAUGUUUCCUAUUCCGCCCAAAUCUCUUCAUCAGAGAUCGAUAGAUGGGGCUCAUGACAAUUCAAUCUCUAUUGGGAACACAAAUGCUAGUUCCAAUAUUCCCACAGAAGAAUCACCUAGAGGAUCAUCGGAACAUAAGAGGAAUAAGAUGUUAUCUGAUGAAUCAGAUGAUCCUGACUGGGUGCCAGGGAUGAGGGCUAGAAAGAGAAGCAGCAGUCUGGCUCUCAGAGCAGCAAAACCAAAUGCACUUUCUCCUCCUGUCGGUAGUAACAAUUCUGAUAUUUCACAGAGAGGUUUCAAUGGUACAACUGCCUCAGGAACUGGACAGCCGCCGCAGUAUCUGGUGGGCCUUUUGAACUUCUUCGGCUGGAAAGUGCUUUUUCGACCUGGGUUUGAUGACUAUGUUUAUAUAUCUCCUGCUGGUAUCACUUUCUACUCCCUUCCGAAGGCUUUUGAGACCUUUCUACUUGGUACUUCCAAGUAUAAGGAGAAGCUGCCGGUGACAUCUGUUGGAGAAUUCCCUCUUAGAAGUGCUGAUAAUGGGAAGAGAUUGCAUGAGACAAAGAGGACGAGUUCAGUGGUUGGAGAGGGUGCCGCAGCUUCUAUGUCAAUUGAAUGUGUUAAUUUGACGCAAUUCUCACAAAAGCCGGACAAAGUGGUUGAGAAUACGAGAACCUGUACUGAAGAUAAUAAAGCGAAGAAGAUUGCAGCGAGCAGCUGUUUGAUCGCAAAUGAAGCCAAAACUUGCAAUGACGAUGCACAUGAUGAAAGGAGAAAUUGUAAAUUUAGACGAUCAGUUCGAAUAACUAGGGGAGACAUUAUUGGAGCAAGUUCUGUGGAUGCUGCUCAAACUAAGGCUGCAUCAUGUAGAACAAAAAGGGAUGCAGUGGGUGAUAUAGUAUCUGAAUAUCCAAAUAAUAAAGUUAGAAAGUCAAACUGUAGAGAUAUUGUUGUUUUAGAAACUGAUCGAAGAAACCAAAAGUGUGUAUCUAAUAAGAAGAAGUUGGCUCGUGUUUGGCGGUCUAGGCGCGGAAAUAGGAAACGUGUUCCCGUGGAUGCUGAAUUUAAUGCUGAAAAUAUGGUUCAUGACAACUUGGCUUCGAGCACGUCUGUUGAUAAUAAUGCUGUUAGUGGGAAUUUCUGUGCAAAUGACAAAGGCUCUAGUGGUGGAGACAAAAAACUGGGUUCAUCUAAUAUUACUGUUUCAUGUCAAUCUAUUUUUAGUGAUGAUUGUGCUAUAGCUGGAACUAGGAAAUCAAUGCGUAUAAACGGAAAACACGUUCCUGUUAACAAUGAAUUGGAGUGUGAAAUGGGUGCUGACGAUGGCAUAUUUGAGCAUUUUAAAUCUGCAACUUCCAGAGUAGCAAAGAAGGACAAGCAGGAAUUAGCAACUUCUGCUGAAGAUGAUGAAAUGGAUGUCAGCACUCAUGUUUCUGAUGAUAUGCAGUUCAAGCAUAGUGAUGCUAAGAACUUUGAUUGCCAAAAUUCCAAACCUCAUAGACAGUUGGAGAGUCACGACUCAAAGAAAAACCAUAAUAAUGAAAAGAUUCCAAUAUCUGAAAUGUCCUCUGCGAAAAGUCGGAAGACAGUUGUGAAAGAAAGUUUGAUCAGUGAGAAGAAAAAGGGGAAUCGAGCAUGCCGACUAAUUCUUAGGAGGAAAGGGAAAGACGACCGUAACAACAGAUCUCCUCUAGAAACAAAAUAUACUAUGCUGUCCUGGUUAAUUGAUGCAGGCGCUUUAACUGAAAAUGAGAAAGUUAUGUAUGUAUCAAAAAGCAAUACAACUAAUAUUCUUAGUGGUUUGGUGACUAGAGUGGGAAUUUGUUGUGACUGUUGUAAGGAGGUCAUGUCAUUGUUGAAAUUUGAAGCUCAUGCUGGUAGUAAUCUUCAGCAACCUUGGAGUAACAUUUUCCUGAUGUCUGGAAAAACUCUAUUACAAUGCUUAAAAGAAGCUUGGGAUCAGAAGAAGAUGGAAAGCCAAACUGGUGUUGAAACAGUAGGAAUUGAUGAUCUGGAUCCUAGCGAUGACACGUGCGGGGUUUGUGCAGAUGGUGGGCACUUGAUAUGCUGUGAUGGAUGUCCUUCUACUUUCCAUCAAGAAUGUUUGAUGCUUAAGGUUAGACUACGAUGUUUUUUUUGCCAUUCAUUGACAUCCGUUUUAUUUUGGAAUAACUAAAUAAUAUGCUCGCAAAUUUGCAGAAACUGUAGAGAGUGAAAGUCGGGAUGAUAAUCCUAUGAUAGGACCUAGAUCCUACAUAUAAAAGUUAAGAGCUGAAGGUGAACAUAUGAAAACUAUAAUUCCAACUGUGGUAGGAUGAACAAUGAUUUAUGAUUCUGUUUUAUUAUUUCCAAUUUUACCAGUAUGGAAAUCUUGAUGACUAGUCGGUGACACGUAUAAUCCUCAAAUGCUUUUAUUUUGUAUAUGUUCCUUUCGUAAGUAUUAUGGGAUUUCUCCUCCCGAUUGAAUUGUAUCCUCUCUCUUAAGUUUUUACUUUUGUUGUACGGUCAGAGGAUUUCAUUUUGUUGAAAUCCAAGCAUAAAUUGCUAAUUGGGCUCUUUUGUUUUCCUUCAGGUUCUUCCAGAAGGCUGUUGGUACUGCCCUUACUGUAGAUGUGCAAUUUGCACAGCAUCAGAAUAUGGAUUGUAUGGAGUUCCUGAGACUUUGAAAUUGCUCAUAUGCAAACAAUGUGGCCGUAAAUGUAAGUAGACGACGUCAUCACUGCAUAUAUGUUUUACUUUCGCUGUUGGAUGCUUGUUGUCCUGAAAACAUUUAUUAUUAUUAUUAUUAUUAUUAUUAUUAUUAUUAUCUUUUACUGAUAUGGGCAUAAAUCCCUCUGCAGAUCACCGAAAAUGUUCAUCAGGAAAUGAUACACUUGAAAUGGGUUUAUUCUGUGGGGAGAAGUGCAAAAAGGUAAAUAUUGCUUUCUGCCUUACAAGAACACAUUUGCUAUUCGAGACAACUAUCUUUAUAUCUGUUUCUCAACGAAUUUCUUGUAAUUACUCUUUCCAUUUCAGUUGGCGAAUCAACUAUCUAAUGUAAUAGGUGUUACAAAUCAUAUGGAAGGUGGCUUCUCAUGGUCUCUUUUACAAAUUUUUGGUGAAGAUGAGGCAGUAUGCUCUAAUUAUAGAAUGCCCUUUAUACUGGAAUGCAAUGCCAAACUUGCCAUGGCUCUCUCUGUGCUAAACGAGUGCUUUCUUCCUCUGAUUGACCGAAGAACAGGCAUGGACAUGAUUGGCCAAGCAGUUUUUAGCCGUGGGUAAGCUACUUAUAUCUUCUUAAUGAAUUCUGCCGAUGAAUUCUCAUUGCAAACAAUUCACAAUCCUCCAUACAUCAACUGUUACAGCAACUUUCCUAUAACAUUCACACACACUUUUAGCAGUUAGCCUAUGCAUUUUUAUAUCUUUCAUUUGCGCUCUUUUUAUUAAUGCUUUGAUGUUAAAUUUGUUUUUGUUUCAUUAGAUCAAGGUUUGACCGGCUCAACUUCCAAGGAUUUUACACAGUGGUUUUGGAGAAGGAUGGAGAAAUUAUUUCAGUAGCUUCAUUAAGGUAUGGACUUGUAUCAACAUUUCCCUACUUUUUGUUUCUUUUCUGUCACAUUCUUUUUCUUUUGCGCUUUUAUGUUGAUCCACUAUUUCUUUCUGGAGAUGGAACAUUUUGGCUCAGGAUUUAACUGCGGCAGAUUAGCUAUGCUCUUAAACAGUCCUCCCAGAUCUCCAUCAUAAUCCUUCUUAUAAGCUCCCUUUAUUUUACACUCUUUUGAUCCUUUAACAGGUUUCGAGGGACAAAUUUUGCAGAAAUGCCCUUUGUUGGUACACGACCGAUAUACCAGAGGCAAGGAAUGUGUCAUCGCCUUCUGCGAGCUGUCGAACAGGUGCCCAAAUUAUUUCCAAUACACUAUGAAAUUGCUUGUCCUCAUAUUUUUAACCUACGCAAACUAUUCAAACUAAUAUUUGUGUCCUCUUUUUGCCUCCUCUUCGUUGAACGUGGUUUCUUUAAUUUAUAAAUUAAGGUUUCAAACCUGAUGCCUUUCGGGUACUCAUUUGCUCCUUAAAUCUAAAUAAAUUAGAUCUCUUUCCAUGCUUGUCCUCACACAACCAAAUUUUUUAUUCGAUUACCAGAUGUUGUCGUCACUGCACGUAGAAAAGCUAGUAAUUCCUGCCAUACCUGAUCUAGUGGAGACAUGGACUCGGUCGUUCUCCUUCAAACCCUUGGAAUCAGCUCUGAAGGAUGAAAUCAAGAACCUGAGCUUGGUGGUCUUUGCAGAGACAACUAUGCUAGAGAAGCGCAUAUGCAGCGCAGCAGCAGCUCAAGAAGAGGGUAUCUUUCAUGCUUUGCCCUGUUUUUUUAUUCAAAAAUCAUGUCUAUAUCCUAAGUCGUUCUAUAUGCUUCCUUAGCAGGUGAUUUGCAGACUAAUGAAAUCUGUAGCUCUGCAACAGGCGCAGAGGAGGCCAAGGAACAACCGGGCUUUUGCGGUACAGGGUGGUGGACCCUCUCCUUCACUGCAGCUAAUGAUGCUCAACAUAAUUCAUCCGUUGCCCAUAUUGACUCCAUAUAUUGUGCCCUUUCCUUCGACGAUCUUAUCAAAAUCAGAGACUGAACCGCUUUUGCUGCAUGAAUUUUGUGCUGUUACUCAGGGUAUCAGGGUUUCUUUCUACACAAUUUUUGUCAGCUAUAGUUUUCUAUGCUGUUUUUAACUAGGCAAAUAGAGAAUAUAAAGAGCUUGUAAAGUCACGAAAUUGCUCUACAUGAAGUGACAUUUUGUAAAGGCUCGUUGGUUUUGUAUGUAGUCUUAUCCGUGAAAUUUGUUUUCCAGUGUUUGCUUGAGUUGGUAAUAACAGCAAAUAUAGCAGAUUUCAGUAUAUACGCAUCUGGCUGGAAGUGUUGAGACAUUUCAAUUUCGUUCGAGCUCCUACCACUUUUGCUGUAUUCUCGAACAGUUUUAGCAAAUUUUGUGAAGAUGGGGUUUUUUUUUUUUUUUUUUUUUUCCCUCAUUAUGGACCUAUGGUGAAAUACUCUCUCCAAAACUUCAUUUUGCAUUAUAAUAACUGCGAGAUUGGUUAGUUUGUUAUCUUAAUUUCGUCAAUCAUGUAAUAAGUAGGGUAAUGCUAAUUGUUAAAAGAUGAAGUCCCUAGAAAUGGCCCCUUGCGGAAACAAAAGCUUAUUAAGAGAUGCACGAGAAUUCAUAGGCUCUAGCGCAGCUGUUUUGUUAAUGGGCCCAUCUGCUACCUCAGGCCCAAAUAGUCGCCCAUUCAACAGGGCCGCAACAACAACAAAGUGGGCCCGCUCGCGGAGAAGCCUAGAGCUCGGAGGCACACCCGAUAACCCGUUAAGGAUCGAUAAUCGCCUUUUGGAAUACGCAGCGGCAACUGGCUAGGGUUCCGUCCAUUCCAUGCAGCGGCAACUGGCUAGGGUUCCGUCCAUUCCACGGUUCUCUCCCGAUUCUUACUUCCUCGCUUCUCAUCAAGGUGAGACUCUGCAACUUCUUCUUCCUCCUGAUUUAAUAUAUUAUAUAUUUUUUCUUUCUUUAUUGUUGCGGCUUCUUACUCUGAAUCUCGGUGUUGAUAACAACAAGGAGGCGGCUCAAAGGAUUGAUCAACUAAUCGCUAUGAUUAUUCCAUUGCUAUGAUCAACUAAUCGCUAUGGAUCCACACUAUGGUCCAUAGUAAUUUAAUCGAGACAAUUUAUAAAUAUAAUCAGUUUGUAUGUAAAAAAGAGAAUUUGUCUAUCUUAUGUUCAUAUCUAAAUCAAAUGAUCCUAAUAUUAAGUAUGAAAAAUCUGGUUACGAUUGAGUUUGGAUUGGGUUGGGUCGCGUCUUGGACCAACGUGUGCGAGUCAAAAUUUGGUCUGCAACCACGUCGAGUCCAGAUUCCAAGCGGCAAGUAGUCUAAAGCAAAACAUUUGGGAGUCAAAAGAACAAAGAUCCUCAACGAAUGCCUGGUUGAGUCUACUUGGUCUCUAGUGAUAAGCUGAUACCUUCCUGUUAAAGAUUAGUGAUGUAUCAAUAAUUAUGUUUGCAUUUUCAUGCUUCCUCCAUUCCUGUUGAUUCUUUAUUAAAUUACGGUUCAGAUAAACUGGAGUUUCUGAAAUGCAACUCAAAUCUGUAUGAUGUAGAUUCACGUAUGUUGAUGUUUCGGUAGCCACUGUGCAACAAAGCAGUCUUACCAUCAAGUUGGAAUUAAAUGAGGGGAACUUUCUGGGCAGAUAAUGCCAUAUAAGCACUUUUAAUGUUACUUCUUGAUAGGCUCUUUUACUUUAAAGUAGGAACUGAAAUGAAAGACCUUGAUUAGGCUCAUAAAGAGAAGAUGGUAAGGUAGAAAAGUAAAAGCUACCUUUGGUUUUCUUUUUCUUUUUCUUUUUUUUUUUUUUAAAAUAUUUUUUAACAUUUUAACAUGGACAGAUUGCCUGUUGUGACCGAACUUUUAAAUAGUCGGUAGCCGGUAAGAACUGAGAGGACAAGGGCAAAGAUUUCAUUGAAGUUUGAUCUUGAUCAGCUGUAUCUUCUUUUUUUCCCCCCUUUUUUUCUUUUCUUUCAGGCACUUCUUUUGUAGCAUUGCAUGGUACUUUUUCCUUGCUAAUUAUUAGGGUUGUCCUUGUAUGUGUCUUUUGGACCAUAUGAGACCAGAGCUUUUGACUGUGACCUGGGCUACAUUUGAAAGGAGACGAAGCACGCUAAGAUUUGGGGUGCCUCCUGUUUCAAUACCGGAGAGAAAAUGCUUUUGCUUCAGAAGAAGGAAAAUGAAGUGUUAGAUAGAGAGAAGCAGCACUUGGAAGUUCUGAAUCAUCUUCAUAAGCAACUCUCUAGCUCAUAAUAAUUAGCACUAAACCGUAUAUUUGUAGAUGAUAUCAAAUGCGAGGUGAUAAAUAGAGACACUGCCGCUUGGGAUGCUUACAUGCACAUGACUUUCAAUUGUGAUAUUACGAAUGAUUGUUGCUGCCCCUUUUGCUUUUCUCAUUUCUUUUCCUUUUUUCUUGUAAAAGACUGGGGCGUACGAAUAAUACAUGUAUUUUUACAAAUUCAUCGCCAUAUCUUUUUGGUUGGUUAUAAUUUGUUUAAUUAUCUCUUUCUUCUGGUUCUUUUUUCUCUGUUUUUUUGAUAUCUUUCCUUUAUGAAUUGCAGGCUAAUUGAGUGGUGGAUGCCCAUGAUAUGGACUAUAAUAAAAACUGCCGAUGAUGAUUGAGGAAUGAAGGAAUAUCUCUCGGAAGUUGUGUGAGGUAUUUUAUAUGCUUUUGUUCUUGUUUUUUUUGUUUUUUUAAGUAUCCCUAAUAAGAGAGCAUGAAGCUCUUAUUUCAAUGCAAGUGCAUGUUAAGAUGACCGGUCCACAACACUGUUUAGUAUGUUUACCGUAGCUAGUUAGUUCCUUAUUACAGGCGAAGCAGUAACGUAUUUUAAAAAGCUUAAGAGAUACUGAAAUUGGAUUUGGCAUCAUGGUGGGUCUGUUUUGAUAAUUGUAUCAAUAUCUCUAAAGAAGGGCUCUGGCCCUCCUCCUAACCUUUUAGGAAAGGCUGCGGACGCACACCAAGUGUUUGUAUCUUUGCGAUUAAACGUCGGUUAAUGAAUCGUUUUCCCAUCCAGCUCGGAACUAGUAACAAAACUAUUCUAUCCACUCAGCUUUUAUGGUAAGGGGGGGAUGCUCAAAAGCCUUAACUUUUUUUUUUUUUUUUUUCCUGCAUAAAACUAAUGUGGGUGUUUGUGUGAGGGUGGGGUGUGUUGGGGUCGCUUUAUUCCUUAUUCUUUGAGUCUCAGAGGAAAGAGGCCGUACACAGUUCCCGAUUCUUUCAGACCAGACCAGACCAGACCAGACCAGACCCACCUUUCAAAGAGAUCCUAAAAGAAGCCCAUCAAAUUUUUUUAGUGGGGCCCAGCAAAAGAUGAGAGGUCACAGGCCCACAUCAGAUCAACAAAGAAGCAUCAUCAUCAUAAGAUCAGAAAUCAUCGUUGUCGGUACGCCUCCCUUUUUUCUAAUCUCAAAGCAAAAUAAAGGAGUACGUUUGCAAUGGCAUGCAAAGGUUAGGGGGCAAAGGUUAGAGGGGGUGGGGGGUGUGCUUCUUUGAUUAGCUUUGUAUUAGCGCUUCAUUAUGCAAGGGAUGUGCCGGGUUGUACUGCGAAUAUUUGUUGUCAUUUUAAUCAUAGGUAAUAUGUGGUGGUCUAGUUGAGGAAUUAAUGAUUGCAAAAUAUUAUUAUUUUUUUAAUGAUAUUUUUUGGAUGCUGUGCUCCACUUUAACCUGGGUUUCAUUGCGGCCUAUCUAUGUGGAAAUUGAUAUGAUUGUAUAAAGGUUCAAUUAUAAUUAAUGAGUGGUUAAUAGUUGGGUUGCAAUCAAUUAAGCAGGAACUUUUGUUCUCAAUGUAUUUUACACUAGUUGCUGGUUUGUUUUUCUUUCAGCAUUUCUGGCUUCUGAUUAACUACUAUAACCGUAUUUUUUAUGUCUGCAACAUAUCAAUAAAAUUUUGGUAAAUGAUAAUCUUAGUAAUCAUGGGCCUAUUGUACCAUUUUGGCCACUUUGAGAGUACUCCUAGAAUUUUAUAUUGAAAUCUGGUAUCCUCUUAUUAAAGAUUUCUUUUGCAGUUCUACUUAAGUAUUAACUUGUUUUCUCCGCCUAUGCUAUUGAAGAGGUUAUAUAUAUAUAUAUAUAUAUAUAUAUAUAUAUAUAUAUAUAUAUAUAUAUAUAUAUGUGUGUGUGUGUGUGUGUGUGUGUUUGUUUUUCUAUGGCUGUUUGAUUCGGGGAUAAGUAAGAACUGCUUAUUACAGAAAUAGAUAUAAGUUCAAGUAUAAAUAGGAAUUAGAUUAAUUUUGUAUUUAGAUAAAAAUUGUAUUGCUUCUGAAAAUAAGAUAAAUAGUAUUUGGAUGAUUAGAUUGGAACAAGAGAGAUAAAAGUUAUAAUUUGAAAUUAAAAUUAUAUUAUCUAAAUAAUUAACAUCAAAAUAUUACUUAAAAGUAAUAAAUUAAUAUUAAUAAUUAUAAAUAAUAAAUUAGUUAAAUAAUAAUAAAUUAUAAUUAAAUUAAUAUAUAUAUAUAUAUAUAUAUAUAUAAUAUAUAUAUAUAUUAAUUCUAAAGUAUAAUUUAACUUUUUAAUUAGUUAGGAAAUUAUUUUAGUUAGAUAACUAGUAAAAAAAAUUAUAUUAUGAUACAAUAGAAAUAUUAAUGGUUGAUCAAUAUAAAUAUUAGUUUAUAGAUAAACACAUUAAAUUAUUAAUAAUUAAUUAGCUAAUUAAUUAUAUUUAAUAAAUUAAUAAAUUAAUUUAUUAUUUAACGAUGAAUAACAAUUUAAAUAUAUUAAUUGAAUUGAUUAAUAAUUUAAUAUUAUAAUUAAAAUUAAAUUUAGACUUUAAUUAAUUUUGUUUCCAUUUGAAAACAAGUUUUUUCCAUGAAAAAAGAUUGAACAAUAGUUCUGCUCUUAUACCGGAAAAUUCAAUUUCAGUAUCUUUGAAAUCAAUUUGCAAACUGAUUUGCUCAAUUACUAAAUUAUUUCAAGACUCGAGAAUUAUUGUUCUCAAAUACUAAACACAACGUUUGGGGAUAAAGGGGAAACAAGGGGGGCUUAAAAUGCAAUUAAUUAGAGCAAAGUACAAAGCCCAUAUCUCAUGUAAACUUCCACUCUACAUGUAUCUGCAGGGCUCAGGCUCAAUCGCGCUUUGCAAUUGGAAUUUAAAGAAGAGAAGAAGCAUACCUACAUUGGAGCAGUAAAGCCUGAAUAAAUUACUAGCUGCAGCGCGUAGGCUCUGUUUAACCCUGCUGUGUGAUAUAAUACUGUUUAAUUAAUAGUAAGAUAAUAUUAUAUUGAAAUUUUUGUUUUUGGGGCUUAAAAUUGUUUUUUUUUUUGAGAGAGAAAGGUAGUACAUUACCUGCUUCAUUCAUUAAGUAGGUGAAAUCAGCUACAUAGAGUGAAGCAUCUUGGACCUCGAGAAGAUACUUAGACAAUUAACAGACAAUAACGAAAGGAAGAGCCCGAUAAAAAAACUGUUAUUUCAGUUUCGAGGGGGACGUAAUUAUACUGGAGAAGAAAACAGCUCUAUGGUAGGUGCAAAAGCUUUGUAAUGAUUGGGAAAUGAGCGUAGAUUAGAGCGGCACCAAACUGAGGGUGUGUUGCAUUCUAAAUGGAUGUUCACUGAUUACGUGGUAGACCAGGUCCAAGCAAUGAUUUCUUAAAACGAUUGAAACUAUUGCCUAUACUGAUUAAAAGUUAAGAUAUACGAUCAUAAGCAGAGGUUUUUGUGAGAAAAUAUGAUAAUAAUAUUUAUUAAGUUUGGAAUAUAUGAUAAUAAUUACCUAGUUUGUAAUAUUAUAUCUUGUCCAGUAUAAAACAUCUAUAGGGCUCUCUUUUGGAUUAGUACAGUUGUCACAGUGGCCAGGUCCGGUAGGUAUAAGCAGGAUGAUGGUACGUAUAACUGUAGACUGAUUCGGAUAGCUCACUGCCACGUCAGAUAAUGCACGAGAGAAAUCUAAAACUAUGUUUGCUGCAAAGGGAAAUGAUUUCCUGCACCUGGUCCAUCUAUACCCUUGCGCACCACUCGUCUAUUACUCUCUCGCUUUAUCAAUUUUCCUUCUAUCCAUUCGACACUGAUGGCUAAUAGAUAGGCGGUGCAGAGUUACACUAAUGCACCGGAUGCAUGCAGUAAUUUUGAAGAGGGGAAAGAGAGAGAGAGAGAGAGAGAGAGAGAGAAAGUGAUGGAGUCUCCUGUGCUGAGCACAUGCAAUUCACUUUGCAUUAGAAAAUAUACUUUGGACCCAAAUUUAGCCUCCCCAGCAAGAAAGGCACAGCCCACAAUUCCAUAAAAUUUACCAUCCCUGACACCAUAAAAAGCUACUACUACCUCACAAUAAUAAUAAUAAUAAUAAUAAUAAUAUUAAACAAUAUAAAGCAGAGCUAGAUAACUACUUUGAUAUACAUUACAUAUACUUGCCUACUCGCCCACACACACACACACACACACACACUCACACACACACCGUCACCAUCUUGAUGUAGAAUAGCCUUCACUAUUAGAACAGAGAGGCAUUGACAACCCAACCUACACAACAACGACAACAAACGCUCCCCACUCUCAAAUCCCCCUUCGAAUUCUCCACCCACCCUAUUUCUCUUCUCGUUUCCUUCACUACUCCUCUCUCCCUCGCUCUCCCAGACCCAACAUCAUGUGAUGAAACUCACCGAGAAAAACUCCCUACAACUACUACUUCGUUGAUCCUCCUCUCGUUACGAACAACAACAACCACCAUCACCGCUGCCGCCGCCAUCAUCGCCAAUACAACAACAACCACAACGGCAACGACGACGACAGCAGCGACAAGGACGGUAACGUCGACGACAGUUAAAACAAGAUGAGAGCAGGAGGCUGCACUGUGCAACAAGCGCUGACAGCAGAGGCAGCGAGCGUAGUGAAGCAAGCGGUGAACCUGGCCCGGCGUCGCGGGCACGCGCAGGUGACCCCACUCCACGUGGCCAGCACCAUGCUGUGCUCGUCGUCAGGCCUCCUCCGCGCCGCGUGCCUCCAGGCCCACUCCCACCCGCUCCAGUGCAAGGCCCUCGAGCUCUGCUUCAACGUCGCCCUCAACCGCCUCCCCGCCUCGUCCUCCGCAGUCCCGAUCCUCGCUCCCCCGCCCGGCCCGCUCCACCACCACCACCACCACCACCACCAUCACCACCACCUCCACCACCAACCCCCCUCCCUCUCCAACGCGCUGGUCGCCGCUUUCAAACGGGCCCAGGCCCACCAGCGCCGCGGCUCCAUCGAGAGCCAGCAGCAGCCGCUGCUCGCCGUCAAGAUCGAGCUCGAGCAGCUCAUCAUCUCCAUCCUCGACGACCCCAGCGUCAGCCGCGUCAUGCGGGAGGCCGGCUUCUCCAGCACGCAAGUCAAGACCAAUGUCGAGCAGGCCGUCUCAUUGGAAAUAGCCGCACCCAUCACCAGUACCCCCUGUAACCCUAACCCUAACCCUACCAAACCCAAGGAGGCCAUCGCCGGCCCCUUGGGCCAAUCUCAUCAGCUGGCCAAAGCCGCCAGGCAUUUGGACUCGGUUAGGGGCGAGGAUGUUGCGAGUAUUAUGGAGUGCCUAGUUAGCAGGCGGAAGAGGAGUAUUGUGGUUGUAGGGGAGUGCUUGGCCACCACCGAGGGAAUCGUCAGGGCGGUGAUGGAGAGAGUGAGCAAGGGAGAGGGGCCUGAGGGUUUACGCAAUCUACAGUUCCUACCCCUCUCGCUCCAGUCCUUCGGACGCAUGUCGAGAGACGAGGUGGAUCACAAGGUCGGAGAGCUAAGGACGUGCCGAGAGGCUGUGUUGGUGUUGGAGGAUCUUCAGUGGGCUGUGGAGUUUUGGGCUGGCUGCGUGGAGAGGCAGAGGAGCUAUUAUUGCCCUGUGGAGCAUGUGAUUAUGGAGAUUAGGAGCCUGGUUUGUGGUGGCUGCUUAGGAGGAGGCGACAGUAGUGGACUCAGCUUUUGGUUGAUCGGGUAUGCAACAUAUCAAACCUACAUGACAUGUAGGGUUGGACACCCUUCGCUGGAGACUCACUGGGGUCUUCACCCCCUCACUGUUCCUUCUGGUAGCUUGGGAUUGAGCCUAACCUGCGACAGGUGACUGACCAAUAUUCCCACUUUAUGCUUAUGCUUAAUUUGCAAUAUUAAUGUUUAAUAUUGGAUCAACAUUAAUUUGGUAACUGUCAUAGUCUGGACUAGUUUAGUUUGUUUGUUUGAUUUGUUUAAUUUACUUCAAUCCGAUGAAUGUGAAAGACUUUUUUUUUUUUUAAUUUAAUUAGUUUCUGGUUAUGUAGUUUUCUUUUCAAUUUCAAAUAAAAGUAGUGAUCAAAUUUUAUUUUUUUUUCUUUUCAUCUGGAAAAGUUACGUACGCCAUCACAUUCUCUCUCUCUCUCUCUCUCUCUCUCUCUCUCUCUCUCUCUCUCACAUCCUUCUUUUUCUAUUGCCCUUUUUAUUCCUUUCCAUGUUACAAGUGUAGGUUGCACUUCAUUUCAAGAAACAGAUCCACAUUUGAUUUCACUACAAGAAUCAUCUAGUAAACUAGCUAAUAUUUAUAAGACUCCGUCAGCGGGUAACUCUUAGCCAUUACCAAUAUCAAAAAAAGAAAAAAAAAAAUUGAAUUCAACUUAAAAAAAAAGAAAGAAUAUUUCCUUUUUCAAAUGUCUUCUCAUUAAUGGAUUCUUUGGCAUAAUAUGUUGGCUUAAUUAACUCUUCAUCAGUGAUUCACAAAUGCGAAUGAAAGCAAAACCGGGUGGAAGUGAGUCAUGCUGGUCAUUUUUAGAAGGUGGAGGCGAGAGUCAGGUAACUUGUGCCGAUUGUUCAACCAAGCUUGACACAAAUGCUCGAGGCCUACAGCAUGCUUCUUUCAGCAGCCGCAGCUCGAUUGCAUCGAACCUCCCUUCGUGGCUUCGGCAGUACAAAGAAGAUAACAGAAGUGCAAGCACCAAUGAUGAUCAGGUAAUCCUCGAAUAAUUAUUCAUUUAUGUUAAUAGCUAUACAAAGAUAAAGUCCAAGAACAAAGUUUUUCCAUCAAUUACUAACCCCUUUUUGGCGUUACCUUUUUGUCUUUUCUCUCUCUCCUAGGGUUGUAUCCAACUAAAAGACCUUUGCAAGAAGUGGAACUCAAUAUGUAGUUCAUCCCAUGGAAACCAACACCAUACAUCAGAAAUGACUCUAAAUUUUUCUUCAGUAUCUCCAUGUUCUUCCUUAUCUUCUUACGAUAAGUGCAACCCUAGCCUCCACCAGCUCCGUCAACCUUGUCCACUCCAACUAGAGGCCGAGCACCCGUGGAGGGAACAUCGCAAAUGGCUCUCAGAGACUACCAAUGAAGGGCUUGAACCCAUGUCAAGAGUCUCUUUGGAGUGUGCAAACCCUAGGCAGAACCUUAGCUCCGGUUCCUCAGAUGGCACGAUGGAGGUGGAAUGUCAUUCUAAGUUUAAGGAGCUAAGUGCAGAGAAUCUAAAGACACUUUGCAAUGCAUUGGAGAGAUGUGCCCCAUGGCAGAAGGAGAUGAUCCCCGAUAUAGCAAGCACUAUCCUGCAGUGCCGAUCGGGGAUGCGGAGAAGGAAAGAGAAGUCGAAGAUGACUAGGGUUAAGGAGGACACAUGGCUGUUUUUCCAAGGGAAUGACAUUGAUGGCAAAGACAAGAUAGCUAGGGAACUUGCUAGCCUUGUCUUUGGCUCUCACAAUAGUUAUAUCUCAAUUGCACUGAGCACCUUCUCAUCAACUCGAUCUGAUUCUACCGAUGAUCUCGGAAACAAGAGGCCACGAUCGGAAAAAAGUCAUAGCUAUCUUGAGAAGCUCUUUGAAGCUAUAUGCGACAAUCCACAUCGUGUGAUCAUGAUGGAAGACAUCGAGCAGUUAGAUAGCUAUUCUCAGGUUGGUAUCAAGAAUGCGAUCGAGAGCGGUAGUUUACGGGGCUACAAUGAUGAUGAAGUCAGUAUUAGUGAUGCUAUUAUAAUUUUGAGUUGCGAGACCUUCGACUCGAGGUCUAGGGCUUGCUCUCCUCGAAUUAAACAGAAGAUGGAGAGUGAGGAAGAGAAGGAAGAAGUAGGUGAGAAGGAGACGGAUUCUAAAGGUUUUUGCUUGGAUUUGAACUACUGUGCUGAAGAUGACAUGGAGGAAUGUUUUUUUGAUGAUGUGUGCCUUCUAGAAGCCGUCGAUCGUGCGUUCUUCUUCCGAUCACCAGGGGAUUUGUAAUGUACGUCUUUGUUUCACUAGGAUUCUCGUUUAUGUUUUUGCAUUCUGAAUCUUGAUAUUCACCCUUUUUUUUUUUCCUUUUUGUGAAUUAUGAAACGAGGGCUAGGAGGGUUGUGUUCUUAAAUUAUGCAUGCUGGGAACACUUGUAUAUUGGUAGUCCUUUCGUGGAAUUGGUUUAUGACAUCUCUCUCUCCCUCUCUCUCUCUCUCUCUCUCUCUCUCUCUCCAGCAUACAAAUAAUUAAGUAUUGGUAUUGUAUUAAAAUAUGCGUAUACAAGAUGGACUACAUAUUAUACGUUCCAAUAUUUUUUUGCAAAAGGUUUUAUUACAUUUUUGUUUGAGAAAAUGAAAAAAGUAUAGUACUUAUCUAGCCAAGUAUUUUAUGUUACGUUCACAUGCGACUGGUGGGUUAGCAUGCAUGAUUAACUCUCUUUUUUCUUCUUAUUCUUUUUUUUUUUCCCCUUUUUUGUGACUGUAAUGUAGGAAUGAACUCAUUUCAUUAAUAUAAUUAAUACGACAUUGAAUCCAACAAAAUAAGAAAUAAAAACACUCCAACAAAUAAAUGCCAGCCCCAUCUUCCUUUGCUGGCUUUUUCCUACAAAAAAAAAAGUGAAGGAAAAUGAAUCAGCAUCGAAAAGUACUAUACAUAAAUAUAGAUGCAUGCAAUACUUCACAUAAAAUAACCGACCGCCCCUAGAGCAAGUGGCAAAGGGCUUUGUGGUUGGUACUCGAAACCCAAGUUCGAAUCCUAGUUGAUUUAUAUUUUCAGCUAAGUUUGUUUCUAAAUAAAAUAAACGAAGCGGGUAGCGUGCUACCUAUCUCUCAAAAAAAAAAAUAUAUCGCUCUAAAUUAAAAAAAAAAAAAAAAAAAACUUCACAUAAAAUAGUGUACCUCUUACUUUCUAUUUGUAAUGUUCUACUGGAACUUUUACCCCUUUUAAUUAAUUUGCUAGUGGAUAAGAAAUGAAUUUGAUGUGAAUUUUGCUUCACAACUUAAUCAGCCAACUUCGAACGUUUCUUAGCCACAAAUUUGAUGAUUCAUCAAAUAUAAUCAAAGUGUGAAUACAGUAUUUGUGUUAAUCUGUAGUUUUUUGUGCCUUUAGGAUAGGUCAGGCGGUAGGGAUCUGCUAAGCCCUAUUCAUACUGAAUGGUUUCUCAAUAUAAAAGGAAAAUGAGAAAAAAUUUUACGUAGUGCAUGAUAUGAUUAAUAGCUUUUUUUUUAAUAACAAUUUAUUAUCAAGUUAAUUAUUUAAUAUCAAAAGCACUGUUUAGUCUAAAUUUUUAUAUUUUGUACGAUUAAACUGUAAAUUCUUCCUUCUAAGGGUAUAUUACUUCAGUUCUCAACAUUGAUAAUUAAAUUGCAAUCUAGGUCAACAGACUUAAGCACUCAGAUGACCGACAAUAAAUAAUGAGAUUAUGAGAAACCACAGAUCGAUCCAUCCUUAAGAGCUUAAAGAAAAAUAAAUAUAGAACAUAAAUAUUACGAAAUACCCUUUGAUUAAUUUUAUGCCCAUGAUAUUUGAAACCACUUGAUAAGAUACUUACCUUUAUUCUAGAAAUAAUUAGCAGCCCCAAAAGAACUUGGCUUAAGGGCAAUUAAUUGAAUAUUGGGCAUCCAUUAUCUCUUUUUUAGUGAUGUCAAAUGGCAAUUACUGGCCCUACCUUCAUUUAUUUAACCCUCCCUUCUGUGCCCUUUACACUAAUUCCCAUUAUGGAAGCAUUUUAUUGUACAUUAAUUAUGUUCCCCGGUAGGUGCUACAUCUAUUAACCAUUAGAAUGGUUUAAAUCAUUAAAUCUAGAGAAGGGUCAUAUACAAGCUGACACAAUCUAGUGUUGCUUGAUUGGAGAAUGAAGGUGGUUGCUACCUCAACCACAAUUUCACAAUCAUGGCCUGUAUUUCUCAAAAGAAAAAUAUAAAUAAUAAAAAAACAAUAAUGGCAAUAAUUUUGUACAGCUUAGAGCUGGAUGCAAUUGCAUGAUGAUUACAUGAGCCGUGUAUGUACGCAUUAAUGCGAUAACAAGAAAUUAUAGACAAUUCAUUGGAGAUGUAUUACAGUAUGAUUCAUAACUUAGUGUUUGUGCAAAGGGGCAGCCACUUUAGAAGGCAAAAGAGCAAUCUUCCUUAAGAAAUAUCAAAAGCUCACUACUUUUCAUGCAUGGUGAUGCGAUUUGAAAAGGAAUCACUUUUGCCUGCUUUAGAUUUCACAACCCAACAUUCUCAUCUUUGGAAAGUAGUGGGGAGUGAAAAGCUUAACACAAAAUAAAGAUAAGCAUCUUAUAGUCUUUAGACCUUAAAGUUAGUGCUUUAGAAUCCUAAAAAGAUAAUCUUCUCUAAUCUCCUACACCUCAUUAAGAUAAAGCACCCAAGCGUAAGUAGGGUAUUUGUCGUGUAUAUGACUUUGGAAAAAUUACAAGAAAGAGGGCUUUGAAAUAUGUGGAUCUCCCAUAUGUGGAGCACAGAGGAGAGGAACAGUACUACGUGACACAUCCUACAUGCCUGUUUAUUACUUUUACAGUAAGGUCUAAACUAAUUUAAUUACAUGCUAUGCUUUUAUAUAUAUUAAUUAAUUUGCAGCUAGUAGCCCUUUUAUCACCUACAAUCUCCCAUCUUUAGAAAGGAUAAGACCACAUCAAUCCAAGUUUCCCAACUCUUUGGCUCUCUUAUCCUUUUUAAUACCUCCUUUCUUGGAUAGUGAUAUUAAUUAAUAGUCCUAAAGUUAAUUAGUUGCAUUCAUUGAAUUAGGAGAUAAUGACCAAAAUUUUUUUUGAGAAAUAAGGUAGCAAGCUACCAGCUUCAUUCAUUAAGUAAAAUAAACUGAGCGUACAAAGAUGGAAGCAGCUUAGGCCUCCGAAAACACAAAAAUAACAGACAAAAGGCCAAAAAGGGGAAAGGAGGUGAGAGGGGAAGGUUAGAGAAAGAGGAGUAAGUCUAGUGUCGCUUCAAGUCAGCAUGAGCUGUUUAUAUACAUAGCAAAUUAAUAGAACAAUUCUGCUUAUACACUUUUAGUAUACAGGUGUAAGAUUUACAAAGUAGCAUCUUAAUUAAAGGCUAGAGAUUUCUUCGCUUGUCUUAUCAACUUCUUUAUUAGCACUAAAAAUUUACAAUUUUUUUUUUAAAAUCCUAAAAUCAUGGAUGGUAAGAUUUAUACCUUAUAAUUAAUGGAGCGUACAACCAGCAUUUUUCUCAUAAAUAUUGCACUGUCAAAAUAAUAAUUCUGUCUCUUAAUUAAUUUGUUCUAGUAUGUGUGCUCGCAUGUAAGUAGACAAGCCUUUAGUGCGUUCUUGAAGUGCAUGGGCUAACUAGUCAUAAAUUAACCAAGAUCGACUAUAUAACUGAAGAGAAGACCACAAAAACGUUAACUACAUAAACAGAAGGUAAAGAAAACUGAGAGGAAAUCCAACAAACUCGCUAGCUAGCUAGCUAGUUGUAGCCCUACAAGCUAGCUCUUUGAAACGAAGGUUUACGUACUUCUCUCCAUGCACAAACUAUAAGGCACUAUUGAAAAAUAAUUAGGAAAAUAUAAAUGUUCCAGAUAUAUAUACAAAUUUAUUUCUUCACAUUUCAAUGCUUUCUUUUUACAUAUUUUAAGGAAAAGGCUAUAAGCAUGGUCAUACCAAAAGGCGAGACAGUACACUGAGAGUGCUGUAUACUAUUACUGAAGGCUUUGGGACUUCCCAGUAAAUAUAGUAUCCCACGUAUUCAAGGGAUUCGUGCCAAAUUUAUAUUAUUGUACAUGUUGAUAUAUUCCCUCGUUGAUUAAUUACAUUAUAGUAAGUGCUUCUUUUGUGGCCAAAGAGCACCAGGAUACAUGAUAUUCUCUCGUAUACUGUAGAGGGAGAGGACGAGACGAAUCCGAGGAGUGAUCCGAAUGGCUCUAUGGCCAAGAAAUACGCAUGCCUUGCAUGUGCAUGCGACUUAGACCCAUUGUAUUUCAUUCACUGCUAUGAGAAUCUCGUUGUGGAGUCUCUGUUGACUGUAUAAUCUUUGUGGAUUACAUAACUGAUCACAGCGGAAUAAAUAGAUAAGAUCACCUUUUGACUACAUCUAAUUGAUGCAUUUCCACUACAUGCAUGCAUCAUCUAAUAAAUUUAGCCAUAUAUAAGUCGACACACCAUAGUUUGGCCUUCAUUUGCAUGCCCACAUACAACAUCUGGUUACAACUAUAAUAAACCAAAUAAAAUUUAAUUAAAGACUUAAUUACCUGCAGUUGCACCUACAGUACAGCAUGAAAUACUAACCCGCCCUUAUAUAUAUAUAUGGAACCUCAUGAUAUGUACUGUACUAGCUAGUUCUGAUCAAUUUUGAUUAAUGCAUCUUGUUAAUUCUGACUCUCGUUUAUUGUUAAAACAACUUAAAGCGGUCUAUGGACUUAUUUUCAUUUUCACUUUAUUUAUUUAUUUUUCUAAUUUUCCUAUUUUAUUUUCAUUUUUAUUUUUAUAUUUUGGUGCGGUGGCUUGUAACUUUUUUGAGUUCGAAUUGCCUUAAAUCUUAUAGCUGAAUUUAUUUUCUAUAUGAAUGGAGCGGGUAGCGUGCUAUCCUUCUCUCAAAUGAAAAAAAAAAAAAAAAAAACAAAAACAAAAACCAAUCUUUGCACUUACCAGCAAAGAUGAGGAGGAGACCAGAGUUGAUAGAUUUUGACCACAAGCACAAAUAUAAAUUUGAACUAGUUAAACAGGCAGACAAUAAAUAAGGCUAAUAGCUACCUCAAAGAUUUGAAAAACCUCAUGUUGCUCUAAUAUCAUGUAAAAAACACUUUAAAAGCUUAAACUAAGUAAGAACGAUGCCUUAAUCAUUUAUAUUCACAAACUUUCGACCACAUGCCAAUGGAAGAAGGAAUCCUAAAAGUCAUAAGCAGCAAAAUAACCGCACAGACCUAUUUCCAAGCAUUUGUUCUUAUCUUGACAAACAUAAAGAAUCAACGAAGUGGAGGUAAUCGAAGGUUUGAAUGAUAUAUUAUUCCAAUAGAACAUCGGAAAUUAAUUAACAGCAGAAGUGGUAAACAUGUCUCCACCACAGAAGCCAACUUCAUCUUUUAUUAUUCUUCUAGCGAUAAUGCAAGAUAUGCUCUAAACUUUCUGAGAAAAAAAAACGAUAUCUGUGGUAUUGCUGGUAAGCCGAAAGUAACCAAUGUGAAUGAAAUAAUUUAAAGAACUGGCUGAAAUAUCCAGAAAAACUUUAUAUUCCUGAGAAUUAACCCCAUACUCAGAUUGACUGAAAUAAAGGAACUCAACUUUCAUGAAGAAAUAUAUAACAAGUUGCAAAGGUGCAUCACAAUUGAUUUUAUUAUGCGACAAGUGGAGAUGGCACAAAAAGGUGUCAUAUUCUAUUUAUAUAUAUGCUUUGCAAAAAUGUUCACAUUAGCACCAACCUGGAACUAGGACAACCAGCAUCUAGUGUCGCUAAUAAAAUAGUUAUAUAUAAAGAGCUUGUGCAAGUCUAUAACACAUCAGACAUGUCUCUUUACAGGCAAACUGUCCAUAAUCACCAAAUGUGAUUCUGUAGUUUCAAAAAUUAUAUUUCCGUGGUGUGAAACUUGCAUGUAUGUAAGAUUAGGAUGCUUUUAAAAGCACCAUAUUUAAUUGUGAUUUUCAGAAAGCAAUAUUUUGACCCUUUAGCAGUCAUUAGACAAGUACAGGAAGUGGAAAAGGAAUGUGCUGAAUUUUGCUGAACCAAGUGAUCGAUGGAUUUUAAUUUUGCAUUGUAAUCUCACUUCUUUUUGUUUCUAUUUUUUUUUUUAUUGAUUUUUUUUUCUUUAUAUGUCGUUCUUAACUUUUUCGAGGCUCCAAUGCCUCAAUUUCUAUAGCUAAAUUCAUUUACCAAAUGAAUGAAACGGAAAAAAGCACAAUAUUUAAUUGAUUGUGGUAUUUGCAUCACUAUGUACGCACACACAUACAUACAUACAUACAUAUACAUACAUGCAUUCACAAAUGUUUGUAGGCAUGUACUCAUCAUGUAUGUGUAAUUCAUCUUUUCUACAACGUUAGCUUUGAACUCUUUAAUUGGAUUAAUGCUAUGUCCAUCUCAGAUGGGAGAAAAAUUUGAACACCGAAAACUAUACCAUAAUUGUAAAUAUAUACAAAAACUUACCUGAAUUAGGGGUCAUUUUGAUUUGGCUAUCUAAUCUUUCAAAAUUUUAAUUUUACUAUCCAUAUUUUCAAUUUAUUUAAUAUGAGUUAGUCAAUAAUAUUUUGAUUUCAAAAUUUAGAUUAAUUACUUAUGUUAAUAAAUUUAUAGUUGUGGAAAUUAUAUAAAUUAUAUUAACUAAAUUUAUAAAGAUAACUAAUGCAUUUAUAUUUUAAAGUCAAAAUGUCAUUUACCGACUCUCAAAUCAAAUAAAUUGAAAGAUUGAGUACGUAGCAAUAUCAAAAUUUUGAAGGUUGGAUAGCUAAAUAAAAAUAGUGCAUAUAUAGUUUAGAACGAUAAAUUCUAUACAUUUUUACCUAUCAUAAAAAGAUCGAGAGAUUCAUACAAAUCAUAGGAUAGUUAGCCCCACAUAGCUCGAAGAAUUCAAUCGCUUUAAGUUGCUCUACUCUCAUCUACACUCGGGAGAGUGGGCUAUUGUUAGCUUCAAUUUAUUCGCAAUCAAACUAUCAGUGAAUAAAACAGCAUUCGCUGCCCUAGCAAUUUAAUGCUUGAUUGCCAAAUAUUGAAAGAUUUCAUUGAUUUCCAACAAAUUUGAUCCAUUCAAAGUGCUCCAACAUGUCAGAUGCCCCAUCAAUCCACAGAAUUAUUCUUUGUUCCCCAAGCUAGAUACCUUAUAAGUAGGCCUCAACUUAUCCAAUUGUUCAUAAACACUUCUUGUCAUUAGGCAUUAAAAUACUGAUCAUCUCUAGCUAUCAUGCUUUCCAAACGGCAAAACUAUCAUAUAUAUAUAUAGGUGCAUCCUUUGGUAGUGAAAAAAUAGCUCCUGAUUUCGUUGUUAUAGACCUCUUCGAUAGAGUCCUCUCUCAGAGCCUUUUUGAAGUGCCAUUUGAGUUUAUGCAAUACAUAUUUCUUCUUCUUUUUUUUUGAGGGAAAAGCAAUAUAUAUUUCAACAGAAGUGUUAUAUUUUUUGCACCGUUACCAAAUUGGGAGGAGCCAAGUUCGCCAGUUAUGGCCUGGAGAUUGACGAGUCGGCUGUACGUGGACCGCCCAUCCUAUCUCAGUCCAUUUCCUCCCAACUUUGAAUCCUCCGUUCCACUGCUCAGUGAGCUCCAACCUGAUUUAAAUGUUAAGUUCUUUACAAAAAAUUUAGGUGGUUAAAUCAUGUAAUUAUGCUAUGAGAUGGAACGGAUGGAGAUGGACAAGCAGUCCAUGCAUAGCAGAUCUUUAGUUUAUUUGGAUUUAGAAAGUCGAUUAGCUAGAUCACUGAGUGUUUUUUUUUUUUUUUUUUUACUUUUCCGCAAGUGGGCUUCAUGGUGACAUGAAAGACAAGUCCUCGAGCUUUGCCCUGGGAUAAAGUGAGACGUCACUAAAGUGAUGGUGUUCUUUUAAUCGGCUAAGAAGAUUAAAAUAUAAAGAGGGAAAAGGGGUAUAAUAAAGUGCGUAGAAUGAGAGACAUACUUAUUAGACCAACCUCCUCCAACUUUGUGAAGAGCCAAUCAGCUUCUCCUUGAAUUAUUCUUCCCCUCAAAUCCCCCCACCUCUAAAGAUAAAUGAAGAGCCAACUUGGAAGGAGAUGUCUAUCUGGGGGCUUAUUUUUAUGUAUCUUUUGCUGUAAGGAUUCAAAUAUUUUGGAGAUAAUGGUGCUUCUUGUUAGUGCUUGCCUUUCUCCUUUUACAAAGUGCUGCAACGCUUUUUAGGACCUCAAGACAAAUGCUUUUGGUAAAGAUUGGGUGCUUUUUCUCGCAUUAAACAUAGUAAGAAAUGUAGAGUUAGAUCUAACUAUGGCCAUUCCCACCUGAUUGGUGCUUCUGAAAGAAGCUCAAACUGCUGGUAGGUUGGAAACCGACAAUAUCACUUUGCGGAGCUCCAAAUAAUUACCUACAGAUUAUUGCAUGCUUAUUUAUUUACCAAACAGAUUGGAGUUUGAAGAUUUUUCAAUUGCUGUUUCUGAGUAUUAGACCAAGUACGAAGUUUCUCGUAGACAAAUUUAACACAGAUGGGCAGUUUAUAAGGAUUGACUAACACUAAACAUUUAAUUCGCUUGCAAAAGGAGUGACGGUCAAAAGUCAUUGUUGAACAACGUAAACUGAUCAUGAUCCACUAUCAAAUUUUAUCUGCACAAUGAAAAUUAUCAAGGCACCAAUUAAAAAGAUGAGCUGCUUAUAAAUUAAGACUAGUACUCGAAACAAAUAUAUAUAUAUAUAUAUAUAGAAUUAGGCUACUAUGCUAUUAAUAGCACAAAGUCAUUGGUGCUACCAAGUUUUUGGCCAUUGGAUUAAGAGAUGUGUGGUUAGGAUGAUGUGGGGCCCCUAGGGUUGAGUGAGUGGUUGGUUGAAUAGUAUGAUCUAACGGGUGAAAAUGAUCAAAAGGGUAGAUCUAACGGCGGAAAACUUGGUAGCACCAAGUGCUUCGUGCUAUUAAUAGCAUAGUAGCCGGACUCUAUAUAUAUAUAUAUAUAUAUAUAUAUAUAUAUAUGAUGCAUGGCAUGCAAUUUGAAAUUCCAUAUGAACGAUCACAACCUAUACAAUCUUCAAAAGUUUCAUAAAUUAAAAUCCAUCAGUUCUAUGUUUGCAGAGCAUAAAUUUUGACAAAAUCUUGUAACAUCUGUUUGUGUUUAUUGUGUUAAAAGAAACUAGGCAGCAUUUUCAAAUGUGCGAGAGGACAUAUAUAUGCUCUAUCCAACGGUAUCUAGCACCUUAGUGGAAUGAGGAUGUUGCAGCUGCAGUAGUGACUUAAAAGUAGAAGAGUCUUUUCAUAUAACCAAAAUUUUAUUUUCGUGCAGCGCAAGCCUCCGAAUGCACCCUGUGCGAGAUCUAGCAAACCAAUUUUUUACUGCAUGAAAAGAUAAACUCAUUCCGUCGAUGCACUACUCAUCAGAAUUCAGACAUAUAUAGUCUCCACUGCUCUCACACUUAGUUUAAAGUUUAUCUGCCGCACUGUUUCGUGUGAAACUACUGUUUAUCUGUGCCAACUUCUUAGAUAACAUUUUUCCAAAUGUAUAAACACAUGAAUCUUCGUAAAUCUUUUAAGUGAAUUGUGAGAGGGGUGUUACUUACAACAAACUCUCUGCGAAGUACAAAGAAGAGAUCAUAUGGGCACUUUAAGAAUCAGAAGCAGCUCUUACAGCUUUCUCAGAUAAAUGUAAAAGUCCAUUUGUUCAUCAGCUAUUAACUCUUCCGAUAAAACCAUAACAAGACAAGCUGCAAAACCCCCAAGGCCCACGAGGAAAAAGCCCCUACAUUAGCAUCUGCAAAAGAGACAGCAAGCAUGGGGACAAAGUUUCCACACCUCUGAGGCUUUUAGCAGUACUCUUUGAUAAGGGCAAAAAAAAAAACAAAAAAAACAUAAGCCCAGAUUGGCUCUCUUUUUUUUUUUCUUUUCUUUUCUUUUCUUUUUUUUUUUCUCUCACCGCUCUCUCCUCCUUUCAUGGGAAGGAGCCAUGCAUGAAAGUAAGGGAAUUCUCGGAUCAAGAAGCCCUAAAAUCCAAAAAAACUUGAUAGCUAAGUCUAUCCUAGCUCUAUGGCUUGCGGGGAGGGUUUCAUCAUUUGAAAGUGAUGAAUUGGGGGAUCCGAGGAGAUGGGCCCUCUCUCCAUAUGAUAUGCUUUAGUUUCGAGGGAGAAGAGCUAGGCCUAGAGGAACCAAUUCAUGUGAUCCUCUUCUCUCAUCUUUCUUGUUCUCUCUCUUUUUUUUUGUUCUUAAAGGGAAGAGGACUGGUCAAAAAGGAGGGGAGAAGAGGCCUGCAUGGUGUGAGGAAGAAUAAUGUGGGAGAGAGUGACAAUUGGGGAAAUGAUGGCCGAUGCUAGCUUUUGGGCAAGGAUAAGUCAUUGUCCUCAGAAAGAAUUUUGAGCAGGCCAGGGGAGCUAAAGCUUUUAAUUUGUAUCAUAUGGGAACUUAGCUGCAGCAUAUAGCUCUUUGUGGGAUAGGUAAUAAGGUGUCCGGAAAAGAAAUGCAGGCCAAGUGACUCAUAAUUAAUGGAAGAAGAGGAGCAGCAGUCCUAAGAAGACAAACAUCCCAUAGUGGCCUGGCUAGAUAUAUACUUGGUUCCCUUAACUAGGUUCUAAUUAUGAUAGUGGAGGCUACUUUUAUGCAAGGCAUUCCGCUAAUUGGAUGGCUAUAUUUAACAGUUAACACUAGCCUGUUAUGAUGGCAAACUCUAAUGAGUAAAGCAUCUCAUGUGUGAUUAAAAUGCCAUCUGAGGCAAAGGAAGGGUUGUUAUAACUUGUGCUAGCUGCACCUACAAAAAAUGUCUACCAAAGUUGCGGCGCUUUUUUUUUUCUUUUUUUAGAGUGAUAGGUAGCACGCUAGCUACCCGCUUCGUUUAUUUCAUUUAGAAAUAAACUUAGCUGAAAAUACCAAUCAACUAGGAUUCAAACUUGGGUAUCGGGUACCAACCAUCAAGCCCUUUGCUACUUGCUCUAGGGACGGUCGGCACAUUUUAACUCCUAAAAAUGGUAGGUGAGGUCUCACUGUUUCAUAGUUACAGCAUUGGAUUUUUUUUUUUUUUUUCGUGUGUGAAAACUCUAUUAGUGGCCUGCAGUAGUAUAACUAAUUAACUAAAAACUAGUAAUUAAAUAAAGUUGGUCAAAAAGACUUCAUUGUAGCUUCAAUAAAAAGUUUCAAUGAUAUUUAUCUCCGUAGAUACGCAUGGUUCACCGACCAGAACCAACGAGCCUUAGCUGGCUUUCAAGUAAAAGAACCUUAAGGUGGUUUGGAUCUCACCACGAGAAAUUGAUGGUUUUGUGCGUCGUAAGCAAGGAACUUAGGUUCGGGCAGAAAAUGUAGUAACCGAUCGAGCCCGUCAAAUUUGGUGGUGUCGCUUGUUGCGACCCGACUAGAAUUGGGCUAAAAAGAUGAAUACAAUUUUUGGGCCCAUUGAAGCCCAAGCUAAUUAACUGUGAUCCAGCCUGUAUCAGGACAUGUCGUGUCGUGCUUCGUGAUCUUCAAUUUUUCAGAACCUGAUUCCCUGCAAGGAUCCGUUCGAGUCCCGAAUUAGGGCAUGCUUGGCUCCAAGCCUCCAGAUGGUUUGAGGAUAAUUUGCUCUAGAAUUUCUUUUUCUUCAAUUAUUCUUGACUGAGUGGAUAACACAUUUGACGCUUAUAACAAAGAUAGCCCCUUAUAACAGAUAACCUUGUGAAAAGAGGUUGGACCGAAGACAUAGUCUGUGUGUUGUGCGGAAUUGAAGUGGAAUUUUUAGAUCACUUGUUCACACAGUGCAUAUUCAUCAAAUUCUUUUUAGUGAUGGGUGUGGAGGGUGUUCAGGCUAGGGAUCUGAAAGAUGACGUUAAUUCUGUCGGGGAUAGGUGAUUGUUUAGAAUUGGAUUGCAAACUACGCGUACUAGACUAGUUGAACUAGUGGCCGACUGGUGGAUCAUAUCGAAGGUCAGAAACAAUAUAAUUUUUAAAAAGAUCUAGCUGGCCCAGUGCUAGCAGUACACAAGCUUAAGCAGUUGGCGAAGCUUUGGAAAGUUCGCCUCUCAGCAAAGCGGAUCGCCUAACCUUUUUUCUUUUUUUGACUUACCCUUGAGACCCACGAUGCCUCAUCCGUAUAGCCUAGUUUACCAUUCCAGUGAAUGAAGUGGGUAGCGUGCUACCUUUUCCUCUAAAAAAAAAAAAAAAGAUAGCCCCACAAAAAGCAAAAGCAGCAUUGAGAAACAGAUUAUACACACUGAAACCCAAUUAUCACCAACAUACUAUUAAGUACAUUAAUCAUCUAUGUUUGGAAAAAGAUAAAGAAAAACAAACAACAGCAUGCUUCUUCUUCAGGGGAAUAUAAGUAGAUAUCAUGGGGCAGGAUCCUUUCCGAAGCCCAUCAAAGCAUGAGUAACAAGCAUCGAACCCCUGCGUGUGAUCUCCGCUAGCCGUCCCACUAAGGGAAGCUUCACAGUGUCUCUGUUUUUCAAAGGCUUCUUAUCCCACCUAAUAUUUCGUAGUGAAACAGAUGAGUUGCUAAUAUCCACCAUUUCAUAAAUAUAAUCUCAUACUGCUCGAAGACUGUUUAGAUGCAUGAAUUUGUAAUGUUGCCUAUUAUUUCCAACACCUAGCAAUGUUGCCCACCAAUAAACAACAAUAAUUAAAUGAAGAAGAACUGACCAGUCUUCAUGGCGGAUGACCUUUCCUUCUUCAAUUUCUAGCUUAAUAAGUGAUGCUAGAUCAACAGCUUUCCCGCAGAAUUUGUAAUGUUGCUUGUUAUCAAUCAGAACCUGAAAUAUGCAAAAACAUUUAUAGCAAGGAAAGGACCAAGCAAGUACAUCAAUUAAAAGGAAAAAAAAAAUGAAAGAUACACUUCAGAGUGUAGUGUGAAUCCAAACCUCGACUUUCCCCGGUCCAAUUGCAUUUUCUUGUACAGUAUAUUCAACAAUUCUAGAUUCACUGAAGACCUGAAAUACACUAAAUUGUAAAAUAAACAAGUUGAGAUAUAUUCAGAAGAUAACUACAUACUGAUAGAGAAGUGAAACUUCUACAGUCACGCACAUACGUAUAUAGAGAUACGGAAAAAGUGGAACUUUCGGCCUGUACUAAAACACAUCUUGUACAACAAAAAAGCUGAUCGAGUAUAUGACAAUUUUAUACCGAUCAAUCAUCCAUGUGAAAAUAAAUCAAUGGAAUAUAUACUACUAUUUCUUUUCGAGGAUCAAAGAAGCUGAGUUUCUGCAAUCUGGAGCUUGGCUGUGAUCGAAAUUGAUUUCAACUUAAGCUCAGGUAGAGUUGGGGAAACUUUAGCUCCAACUUGGCUCAUGGAAAUUUCGAGCUAGCUUGAUCUUGCCGUAUAAGCAUGAUAUUAGAGACGAAAGGAGGGGCUCAUAACUCAUUUGAAUGACAUACAUGAACGUGCACACGCGCAUAGGCACGCACGUACAUAUAUACACACAGAGAUAUAAUCUUACAAGUUACAAACUUACAUACACUCAAGUAGGCUUUUCGGGCUUCAUUAACUAACCUAGAUUGCAAUCCUGGCUCGAGCUCCGCUUGUUUAGUUAAUAAAAAAGCUGGAAUUCGAAUUGAACUGUAUAGGGACCCACCGAAAAGUGGCACUAACAAAACAUACAAGAAACAUUCCCAAUAAAAAAUAGCCAAAGAAAAUAAGAUUCAAAUGGUACUCAUCUCAAACUUCGUGUUUCCAGUAACCCCCUUGCUACUAGUUUACCUAACUUACAUGUUUUUUAACACUAAACAGGAAAGUCCAAAACUUUCAAAUUUGUCUAACAUCUUAUGAAUAUUAUAACAAACAAGUCCCCCAAUCCGCCAAAAUUACUCAUCGCUAAGAACGUAAAAACCUCUUUUAGAAGUAAAUCCAAACCUUAGGAAGCGAAUAAAACGCCGACUUGAUCUGCUUCACUCUGCCAAGGAGCACCUCACACUUAAGAUACGGAAAAAAGCAUAAAGAUCUACUCUUUACUAUACAAAAAUCCUAACAAUGAGCUCAUACCCACGAGCGCGCAUGAGGGGAUCCUCGAAGGUGGCGUUCGGAGCGUAAAUUUCAAAAUCUCGAGCUGUCGCAGACGAUCCAUAUCUGUAAACGAUCGCCACCGAUCCCGAUUAAGGCGAAUUCGCAGCACCGAAAUCGAAAUAAGAAAGCAGGGUAAGAGAGUUCGAAACUGAGUAGAAAUUAGGGCCAAAAUCGGGUGAAAGCUAGGGGUCGAACUCACAGGUUGAGGAGGUGGGGGAUGAUGAGCUCGGAGAGCCCACGCGCUUGCGGUUUCGGGUCGGAUUUUGCGUCGUCGGAUUCCUUCGCGUGUUGCUCCGCUCGGCUACUCUCGUCGUCCAUCGUUGCACCCUACUUGCGCAUUCAAAUGACGAGGAAGAUAUUUCUCUUUUCUUAAAGAAGAGAUAAAUUAGAAAAAUAAAAAAAAAAAAAAAAAAAAAAAAAAAAAAAAAAAAAAAAAAAAAAAAAAAAAAAAAAAAAAAAAAAAAACACAAA